UCAAAAUUUAUAGUAAGAAUUAAUCAAAUAAAAUUUAAAAAAUGGAGGAGGGGUAAAAUAGACAUUCGAAAACAAAGAACGUGGAAACCCUAUUGAUAGGUAUAUAAGAAGGGUAGUGUUAAGUGGCAAAGUAAAGAGGGGACAAGUCAUGUGAAUAGAAAAAUAGCAGUGAGUGGAAGAGCUUGAAGCGGCGAAAAUGGAGAAAGGGAACAUGUGGAAAACGAAAACACAGAUCUAAAUCAAAUCAUGAUGGGAUUUAUAUAGUUUUCAAUCUGAAACUAACAUUCCCUUCUCUCUUUUGCUGCUCGCUCCUCUUCAUCUCUCUCUCUCUCUCUCUCUACACCUAUAUAUAUAUAUAUAUAUAUCUAUCUAUCUAUGCCUCGUUGAGGCACACGCGUUUUCUCUCUCUCUCUCGCUCUCACUCUCUCUCUCUCUCUCUUUCUCUCUGCUAUUCAGAUCUUCAAUGGCUUCCCCCUCGACCUGAUGAUGAUUCUACACUCUGAAGGUUCAAUAUUUUUAUUUUCAUUUUUCUUUUUUUUAGACCUUAAUUUGAUGUUCAGAUCUGAUUUUUCCCCCCCGAAUUUCUCAGUCUAUUAGAGUUUUUUUCUGCGUCAAUUGACUCUUGAUAAAGAAUUUUCUUCCCAAACUUUUAUACGACUAAAAUUUGUUGAAAUUAGAUUAAUAUUGUUUAAGCUUUGCAAGCAAUUGACAUAAUUAGUAUUUAUAUUUUUGUUAAUAUUCUAAGCAUUUUCCUCCUCCAAUUUUUUUUUUUUUAAAAUUUAUUAAAACUAGUGUAACUGACCGGCUUAAUAAAAGUUGUCUUGUGCUACUGGUAGUUUCGAGGGGCGAUAUCCUCCGUAAAUAAAUAAAUGAGUCAUCGAUUCGAGGAUAGGAAGGGUCAAACGAUUGAAAAAAAAAACUAUUAAGCUUUUAAAACAAAAGCAAUUCUGUUUAUCCUUUAAACGAUGUGAUUAAUUGUAUAUAUAAUAACUAUCUAAAUUUUCUUCUAUAAAGGAUUUGGGCUAAGGCCAAGUAAUUUGAAUAGCACAUUCUCCCGAGUUUGUAAAUAAGCACUAUAAUUAGAUAGCCUUUAGAAUAUUUAUUCAGUUAUUUUUAUUAUAAUGACGAAAUAAAUUAUCUCAUAUAUAUAAUGAAUUGAUGUAUAUAACCUAUCUCGAUAUAAUUUCCUCUAACGUAUAUAUAGUAAUAUACAAGCUUGCAAGUUGAAAUAGGAACUUUUCCUUUUCAUUGUUCUUUGUAAUUUUACUAUGAUAUGAUUUUCAGUUUGAUAGAAUCAAAAUUAAUCAACAAAUCUCAGGGCCAGGACUCUUCGUUUAACCACUCAAAUUCACAUUCGAAUCCAUCAUCAAUUUUUAAUUGAACAAACGACCAAAAUUUUAAUGAUGUAGGAUCUAAUUACGUGUUUUCAUUUUAGUUUUUGAAAUUAUCUUUCAUAUCACAUUUACUUCACUAGAUAUGUAUAUCUAAUUUAUUCAGAUGUAUGUAUUUCGAAUAGAUUAAAUUUCUUGAAUUUUUUUAAAUAUAUAUACAUUGUAUUCACACGUGAUUAAUAUAUGAAUCAAGGAUACACUAAUUCUCUUCGAUCACCUUUCUAUCUUGCUUGCAUCUCUCUUAUCUCGCUAGCCUAUCAAUUGCUCACCUCUCUCCUCUUUUUGUUGUCUCUCCCUAUAUAUUUAUAUUUUAGAAUAUAUCUGAUAUCAAAGAUAAAUGUAUAUGGUAUCUUUGAUAUAUGUAUCUAACUUGAAAUAUGAAAUAAUGAUACAUGAAUGACUUAAAAUCUGAUAAAGAAUUUAUCGAUUAGUAAGCUAGUAUAUAAUUAUUUCAAACUAUAACAUGAUCGAGUAUAUCUGAUUGGAAUGUUUGUAUAUAUAAUUAUAUAAUUUUUUCUUUAUAAGAAGAAUUCUCUCUUCAGUAGCAAUUUGGCUUUUUGUCUGAAGUUGAGCUACUCUCUCAAUCUAUGUUCGAAAUUCCAGAGACACAUUUAUAUUAUACAAGGUUUUAUUACAUUUUCUACCCUUUUCGGCCUACGUGGCACUAGCUUGAAAAAAAUAAUCAACUAGCGUUGAACCCACAAGAUAGUGUCACGCAGACCAAAAAGUAACAUUUUUUAAAAUAAUAUAUAUAUAUAUAUAUAUAUAUAUAUAUACUUUCCACUGAAAUGCAGUGAUUUGUCACCAAAAAAAUGUUAUCUUUUAAAUCUUUAUGUGACUAGUUUACAGAAAUUUAACAAAAAGAUCAAAAAAAAAAAAUGCAUUUUCCACCAAGGCAGCGAUUUUACUGAAAUCGCUGCAUCUUUUUUUUUUAAAAAAAAUAAAUCUACAAACUUUAUAAUUAAACUGCGAUCCUAGCGAAUUUUUUAAAAAAAAAUUAAGAAAAGGCAGCGAUUUUUAUUAAAAAAAUAAUUAUUUUUAUAAAAAACGCUGCCAUAGCAGCGAUAUUAAACUUUUUUUAAAAGAAAGAAAUUGUAAAAAUACUGUUGGGAAAGCAAUAUUCUAAAAAAAAAUUUGGAUAAAAAAAUUGUUAUUUUUUUUUAAAAAAACAACACAACAAUGUGAUUAUGAGAUGUUUGAACCGAAGCAUUCACAUCAUUAUCGAAUAGACACAUUCCUUUGCUGCAAGUGGCUAUAAAUAAGAGAUUAUUUUCGUUUUUCAAGACAUUGAAAAUUUUCCUCUUUGCAUACAUUUUUUCUCAUAAAUAAAAUUGUCGAUCGACUCUGUCUGUAUGCUCUUGUUAUUGUUUUUGCGUUCGUUGAAAUUAUUGAAGUUUGAGGCACCGCUACUUUUUUAACAAGUUAAUCCGUUUUAUCUUAGAAGAAAUUAAUCUGCAACCUCGGGUAUAAUAAGGGGAUUAAAUUUCUUAAGGAAAUACCGUGAUUUCUGUGGACUCGAAUUAAAAAUUUUCUUUUUAUUUCAUCUUAUUUAUGUUCUCGUAGUGUUUACUUAUUUACGCAACAUAACUAUAGUUUAAAUAGCUAAAACAUAUCUUAUUCGUAUAUUUUAUUUUUUUAAUUAGUUAUAAAAAAUGGUGUUAAAAUUUAGUUUACUAAAUAUACGACAAUUUUGUGGUAUAAUUAUGAAAAAUGAUUUCUUAAUUAAAGCUUACUGAAUCUAAUUAAGAUACCUUACCAAAUAAGUCUUUUUCUUCAAAUAAAAUCUCUCAAUAAAAUCAAAAUUCAAAAUUCAAAAAUUUCAACUUCUCCCAUUUAAUUGUGUAUAUCCAAAUCAAUUUAAAUUUCAAAAUUGAACAUCUUGUAUUUCACUAUAUUAGUUUGAAUUGAAUAGUUAUGAAUAAAUAACAAAAUAUUGAUUUUAAGCGUAUUAGCAUUAUAUAUGAAGUAGUUGAUUGAUUUGUAUAGUUCUUUAAGAGUUCUUCACGAUUAUGAUGAAAAUGCAUAGAGAUUUGUAUGUGGUAAUUGUAUAUGUAUAUAAUUAGUAUAGAUUUGCAGAUUACGAUUUUUGUGUUUAUGAAUAUUAUAUAAUUUGUUGUAUAUUUUAAGACAAAAAUUUGUAUAUUUGAAUGAUACUCGUAUUGACUUUUACCAAAUAUGUAUAUGUGAAUAAUAUUUGUAUUUGACUUGUAUCUAUAUGUAUACGUGAAUAAUAUUUAUAUUUGACUUAUAUCGAUAUGUAUAUGCCGUGGACUGAUUUGUAUGUUAAAUAAUUUCUAUAUUUAAUUUUGUAAAAUUGUUGACUUAUACAUUUGUGCCUUGAUAUCAUGUAAUAUGUACAACUAAGGCAUAUAAUGCAUACGAUUAAGUGCUUGUAUACAAUUUUGUAUUUGACUUGUAUCAAUAUGUAUAUGUGAACGAUAUUUGUAUUGGACUUAUAUCAGUAUGUUUCUAAACAUUUUGUAUAUUAUAUAGUUUGUAUACAAUUUGUUGUAUAUUUUAAGACAAAUUUAUAUAUUUGAAUAAUAUUCGUAUUGACUUAUAUCAAUAUGUAUAUGUAAAUAAUAUUUGUAUUUGACUUGUAUCAUAUAUAUAUAUAUAUAUAUAUAUAUAUAUAUAUAUAUAUAUGAAUCAUAUUUGUAUUUGACUUGUAUCAAUAUGUAUCUGUCGUGGACUGGUUUGUAUGUUAGAUAAUUUCUACAUUUAAUUUUGUAGAAUUGUUGACUUAUACAUUUGUCUUGAUGUCAUGUAAUAUGUACAACUAAGGCAUAAAAAUGCAUACGAUUAAAUGCUUGUAUACAAAUUUGUAUUUGACUAGUAUCAUUAUAUAUAAGUGAAUAAUAUUUGUAUUCGACUUAUAUCAAUAUGUUUUUAAACGUUUUGUAUAUUAUAUUAUUUGUAUACAAAUCAUUGUAUAUUUUAAGACAAAAGUUUAUAUAUUUGAAAAAUAUUCGUAUUCACUUAUAUCAAUAUGUAUUUGUGAAUAAUAUUUGUUUUUGACUUGUAUUAAUAUGUAUAUGUGAAUAAUAUUUGUAUUUGACUUAUAUCAAUAUGUAUAUGUCAUGUAUACAAAUUUGUGACUAGUAUCAAUAUGUAUAUGUGAAUAAUAUUUUUUAUUUGACUUAUAUCAAUAUGUUUCUAAACGUUUUGUAUGUUAUAUAAUUUGUAUACAAUUUGUUGUAUAUUUUAACACAAAAAUUUAUAUAUUUGAAAAAUAUUUAUAUUAACUUAUAUCAAUAUGUGUAUUUGUGAAUAGUAUUUGUUUUUGACUUGUAUUAAUAUGUAUAUGUGAAUAAUAUUCGUAUUUGACUUAUAUCUAUAUGUAUAUGUAUAUGUCGUGGAUUGGUUUGUAUGUUAGAUAAUUUCUAUAUUUAAUUUUGUAGAAUUGUUGACUUAUACAUUUGUGUCUUGAUACCAUGUAAUAUGUACAACUAAGGCAUGUAAUGCAUACUAUUAAAUUCUUGUAUACAAACAACCUAUUGAACUUAAAUAUACAUACACAAAUAACAUAAAAAGAAAAAAGAAAAAUACCUCAAGAUCUUCAUUCUCUUGUUUGAUAUUAAUUAUGUAACAUAUAUAAUUAACCAAUAGUACAACCAAUUUAUUAUCUCAUAUACAACUUAAAUCAUACAUAUACAAAUCAAAGAAAAACUAAAACUGUCACGACCCAAAAAUGAGUGUGAUGGCACUCGUCUUAUCCCACCAAGACAAGUCAACCUAAAACCCAAAAUCUAACAAAGUGCGGAAGUAAAUGACAAUCCAACAACAAUUUCUAUUAUGAAACCAAGUCAUAUUAAUUCAAUCCCCAAAACCAGGUUGUCACGUGCACAAGCCUCUAAUGUAAACAUUAGAAUUGAAAUAAAUUAGAAGUCUAAAAUGAAGUUGUCUUUCAAAUAAAAACAAAGUCAUAAACUGGAGUAGGAAAGUUCGCUGAGAUGACAAGCAGCUACCUCACAAUCCUCUACAAAAUGCCUCGGAAACGAAGAGAAUGGAAGGUAUCACAAAAAUCCGGGCUCAUAACCUACAAAAAUUUGUAGAUGCAAGGGGUGAGUACCAAACCACGCGGUACCCAACAAGCAAACCUCUAAACACAAGUUAAGUGAACAAAAUACAGGUACUCCUUACGCCCUAUCUAAACCUCCACGCUACAGCCUAACAGUUUGCCAAACACACCACUCAAUAACCACACUCUAUCAGUUUACACAUUCUCAAUAACAACUCAAUAUUCAACAGUCACAAGCUUCACAGAGAAACAAUCACAAGAUCAGCAAAACACAUGUUCAAGUUCAUCAAUAAUAAAAAUGUGCAAUGUCAUGAGAUGCAAUGUCAAAUAUCGUGAUGCAUGUCUUUCCUAACGAUACACACCUGCUGUCUCUCAGGCCAGACCCAUGGGGGACAUAUCUGUCCAUGCAUCUAUCGCGGCGCACGACACGACCCUCGAUAAAAUAGUAACCUUCGCGGCGCGCGAUACGUCCCUCGAAAUAUAAUAUCCAUCGCGGCACGCGAUACGACCCUCGAAAAUAGUACAUCAUCCUCUUACCACAACCAUGUCUCAGAUACAAUGCAAAUGACAUGCUCAAAUGAAAAGGAGGAGAUAACCAUUUGAUAACAAAGCACAAUUUAAACAAGAAAUACAACACCAACAAAUAAACAACAAGUCUUCAAAUCAUUCUCAACAUCACACAAGGAAAUACACGAAUUUCGUACGCUUAACAAGAGUUUAGAAAUCCACUUGCCUUAGCCAAUCGAAUAAUUACUGUUGGACUUGAGCCUUCCCUUUCCGUUGAGCUUCCAAACCAAUGGAUUCUAUUCAAGUAUAUAUUCACAAUAAGGUUUCAAAACUAACAACACUCACACUUUUAUGUGUCUAACCUUGACCUAAAAAUUCACCCCAAAUUUAUAAUCAAGUUUGUAAUUCUUGACGUCAAUUAACAAUUCAACGAUCAUAUUUUCCAAGUUUCAAGGCUAAGUUUAAAUCUUCUUCUAAACACGUACAUCAUUAUCAACACAUUUGAUUUCUGCCCAAUUAACAAUUACAAAAUAAUACUUACCGACCUAGUUAUAGGAUAUUAAUGUUUUAGAUAUUAAUUAUGGAAAUAAUAUUUCUCCCAUGGUUAUCAUUAAUUGUUGGUAAGAAAUUAUUAUAAAAUAUAUAUAUAUUGUUAGCAUGCUUUGUAGUUUGCUCCUACCUGGAUGAGAAUGAAGCUACGCCAGCCGCCACUCACAGGUAGAUUCUGUUUCCCUUUCUAUCUUCUUUUCUUCUAAAUUACUUAUGUUAUUAAAAGUAACACUCCUUAUUUAACCUAUAUUAAUAUUUCAGACUUGACCCAUUAUUAUUAAAAAUAACUAAAUUACCCCCAAAUUAAUUAAUAUAGUUAAAUGACUAUUCAAAAUUAUCAAAAAAAUAACUUUCGGGUCUGAGUCAUUACAUUAUCCACCACUAAAAAUCAUGUUCGUCCUCGAACAUAAGGUGAAAGAAAGUACCUGAAGCUUAAAAAAUCUGAGGGUAUAUGGCACGCAUGUCAGACUCUAUCUCCCAAGUUGCCUCUCCCACUGAUCGGUGCUUCCACUGCGCUUUUACUGAAGCAAUCUCCUUGGUCCUAAGCUUUCGAAUCUUCCUAUCCAAAAUAGCUAUAGGCUCCUCCUCAAAUGUCAAGUCUGGACCCAACUCCACAGAAUCAAGUGAAAGCACAUGAGAUUCAUCCGGAAUGUACUUCCGAAGCAUAGAGUCAUGAAAAACAGGAUGAACUGCCGACAAACUAGGUGCCAAGGCCAACUUAUAGGCCACCUCUCCCACUCGGCUCAAAAUCUCAAAAGGUCCAAUGAACCUAGGGUUAAACUUGCCCUUCUUUCCAAACCUCAUCACACCCUUCAUGGGUGAUACUCGAAGCCAAACAUGAUCACCCUCCAUAAACACCAAGGCUCUAACUCCCCGGUCUGCAUAACUCUUUUGUUGACUCUGAGCUGUCAAUAAUCUAUACUGAAUCAUACGAACUUGCUCCAUAGCAUCUCUAAGCAAGUCUGUAUCCAAAGAGUCCAUCUCCGCUGAAUCAAACCAACCAAUAGGAGAUCUACACCGUCUACCAUACAAUGCCUCAAAUGGGGCCAUUUGGAUACUAGAGUGAUAACUGUUAUUAUAGGCAAACUCCGCUAAGGGUAAAUAUCGAUCCCAUCUUGCACCAAAAUCGAUCACACACGCUCGAAGCAUAUCUUCCAAUACCUGAAUGGUCUGCUCAGAUUGACCAUCUGUCUGAGGGUGAAAUGCCGUACUCAUAUCUAACUGAGUACCCAGACCAUGUUGUAAUGCCUUCCAGAAGUGAGAAGUAAAUAGUGAACCUCGAUCUGAUAUGAUAGAAACAGGAACUCCAUGUAGUCACACAAUCUGACUGAUAUAUAGUUCGGCUAACUUUUCUACUGUAUACUUUACCCGAACCGGGAUGAAGUGGGCAGACUUGGUCAGUCUAUCAACAACAACCCAAAUAGAGUCAUAACCACCCACUGUGGUAGGCAAACCCACAACAAAGUCCAUAGUAAUCCGCUCCCACUUCCAAGUAGGAAUAGGCAUCCUCUGAGAUACACCCCCGGCCGCUGGUGCUCACACUUGAUCUGCUGUCAAGUCAAACACCUCGAAACAAAGUCUAAAAUAUCUCUCUUAAUCCCACACCACCAGUAAUGCUGACUCAGAUCAUGAUACAUCUUCGCCGCUCCCGGAUGGAUGGAAUACCGAGUACAAUGAGCCUCCUCAAGAAUCAAUCUAAUCAAAUCGUCUAUCCUGGGCACACAAAUUCUGCCUCCGAUCCGCAAGACACCAUUAGAAUCAAGGACAACCUCCUUAGCUUCCCCUCUCAAUACUUUGUCUCGAAUGAGACAUAAUUUUUCAUCAUCAAAUUGGUGUGCACGGAUUUGCUUGACUAAAGAAGACCGAGCCUUAAUAAAAGCAAUCAUCCCAUCAAUCUCUUCUGAAAUCUACAAGCGGACAAGACUAUUAGCUAAUAUCUGCACAUCUCUAGCCAAUGGUCUCUCCUCAAUACUAAGCGCUGCAAGACUCCCCAUGCUAGGAGUCUUCCUACUCAGAGCAUCGGCCACAACAUUGGCCUUUCUUGGAUGAUACAGAAUGGUCACAUCAUAGUCCUUCAGCAACUCAAGCCAUCUCCGUUGCCUCAAGUUCAAAUCCCUCUGGCUAAAGAUAUACUGAAGACUCCGAUGAUCAGUGAAGAUCUCACAAUGCACUCCAUACAAAUAAUGACGCCAUAACUUAAGUACAAAUAACACAGCCGCCAACUCCAGAUCAUGGGUAGGGUAGUUCUUCUCAUGGGACUUCAAUUGCCUCGAAGCAUAAGCAAUCACUUUCCCCUUCUGCAUCAACACACCACCCAAACCAACUCUUGAAGCAUCACAAUACACAGUAAAGUCUAAACCUUCCUCAGGUAGAGUCAACACAGGAGAAGAAGUCAACAAAGUCUUGAGCUUUUGAAAGCUCUCCUCACACUCAUCAGACCACUGAAAACCCACAUCUUGUCGAGUCAAUCUAGUCAAUGGAGCUGCAAUAGUAGAGAAACUCUGAACAAAUCGUCGAUAAUAGCCUGCCAAUCCCACAAAACUCCUAAUCUCAGUAGGUGAAGUAGGUCGCGUCCAGCCUCUAACUGCCUCAAUCUUGGCCGGAUCUACUCUAAUACCCUCUUUGGACACCACGUGUCCCAAGAAUGUCACAGAAGUAAGCCAGAACUCACACUUUGAGAACUUGGCAUACAACUUCUCUUCUCUCAACCUCUGAAGUACAAUCCUCAGGUGUCGGACAUGGUCCUCGUCUGUCUUAGAGUAAACCAAGAUGUCAUCGAUGAAAACAAUCACAAAAGAAUCAAGGUAUGGUUGAAACACCCCAUUCAUCAACUCCAUGAAUGCUGCAGGGGCAUUAGUCAAUCCGAAGGACAUCACUAGAAACUCAUAAUGCCCAUACCGGGUCCGAAAAGUUGUCUUAGGGAUAUCUGAUGCCCUAAUCUUCAACUGAUGAUACCCAGACCUCAAAUCAAUCUUAGAGAACAAUGGUGCUCCCUGUAACUGAUCAAAUAAGUCAUCAAUACACGGAAGAGGAUACUUAUUCUUAACUGUUACCUUGUUCAACUUUCUGUAAUCAAUACACAUUCUCAUAGUCCCAUCCUUCUUCUUCACAAACAAUACAGAGGCACCCCAAGGUGAUAUACUAGGGCGAAUAAAACCCUUACUCAAUAAAUCUUGCAACUGAUCCUUCAAUUCUUUCAACUCUGCUGGGGCCAUAUGAUAUGGAAGUAUAGAAAUAGGCUUAGUGCCCGGCUCCAAAUCAAUAACAAAAUCGAUAUCCCUAUCGGGAGGAACACCUGGAAGAUCAGAAGGAAAUACAUCGAGGAACUCCUGAACCACGGGAACAGAGUCCAUGGAAGGUGGUUCAACACUAGUAUCCCGAAUAAAAGCUAAGUAAGACAAACACCCCCUCUCCACCAAUCUCUAAGCACGGAUAAAAGAGAUGACCUUUCUAGGAUAAGAACCACUAACACUCUUCCACUCAACCCUCAGAACACCAGGCAUUGCUAAAGUUACAGUCUUAGCAUUACAAUCAAGGACAGCGUGAUAAGGAGAAAGCCAAUCCAUACCCAAGAUAACAUUAAAGUCUACCUUCCCCAGAAUGAUUAAAUCUACCCAAGUAUCAUACCCAGCCAAAGAAACAAGACAAGAUCGAUACACUCGAUCCACCACUAAGGGCUUACCCACGGGUGUAGAAACACGAAUAGGUAUAGUCAUGCUAUCACAUAUCAUAUCAAAUUUAACAACAAAAUACGUAGACACAUAAGAAAAGGUAGAACCUGGAUCAAACAACACAGACGCAGGUCGAUGGCAUACUGGAUGAUACCUGUAAUAACAGCAUCAGAGGUCUCCGCCUCAGGUCUCCCGGGGAAAGCAUAGCAGUGGCCUCCUCAUCCACCUCCAUCCUGGGUGGUACCUCUACCCCCACUCUGCUAAGCUGCAACACCACUACUAGAAACUUUAUCACCUCUACCUGCCUGAACUCUGCCACGACCUCUAUCCUGUAGUGCUGGUGGUCUAGUCUGGAAUGAAGAAUUAGGUCGAGGCCCACCACAACCUCUUUGUGAAGUACACUGGCGCAUUAGAUGAUCGGGAUCUCCACAAGAAAAACAAAAUCUCUGACCUGGGAACUGUUGUGUGGACCCUGAAAACCCACUAAAAUUUCCGCGCCCUGUAGGUCGCUGCUGUGAACCGUACGAUCUCUGACCCGGGCUAUAAGAACCCCUAGAUAUCUGGCCACCCUCAAAUGUCGGCAUAGAUGCAUGAAUAGGUCCCCGCUGCUGAAAAGAACCACUCACUCUUUGUGAUCCCCUACCUCCAGAUGAGGUACCAUGAAACUGGCCUGAUAUACGGGCCCUUUUAGGGUCCCCAAACUCCUCUCUCUCCAUCAAUUCUGCCUCUUUGGCAGCGCUCACAAUGGACUGGAAAGAAGCCCCCUCCCUAGAUGCCCGAAACACAGCUGACCUGAUAGAGAAAGUCAAUCCCCUCACAAAUCUGCGGAUCCUCUCUGUCUCAUUUGGAAUAAUGGCCAACGUAUGCCUAGACAACUGGCAAAAACGCACCUCAUACUCUGUAACCGAUAAACCAUCCUAUCUCAGACUCUCAAACCUCAAGCGACUCUCCUCUCUCAUGCUCCAUGGGAUAAAACGAUCUUGGAAUGCAUUAGUAAAUUGCUCCCAAGUCACUGGAGGAGAUCUAACUGGCAAACAUCCCGAAUAAGUCCUCCACUAGUCUCUCACUGGUCCACGAAGCUGGAGUGUAGCAUAUCGAACCUCAUGUGACUCAGCUAAUCCAACCACAUCUAGUAACUCUCGGCAGGUAGUUAGAAACUCAUGAGCGUCCUCGCUCUUCCCACCCUGAAACUGAGGUGGGUCCAUCUUUCGAAAUCUCUCAUACCUACGCUUCUCAUCCUCUGUCAGAACAACCAUCGAUGAAACUUGACCCCCAACUGCUGGUGCAACAUCAUUCUGAACCGCGGGAUCUACUGGUAGUUGCCCCACCGCAUCCUGAACAACUGGAGCCUGUUGUUGUUCUUGGGUCUGAGCCCCCUCUCUAGUACGAGAGUCAUGUGGUGUGGUAGUCGCACCACCACCCUGAGAAAAGCCCUCAAGCACACUUAAGACCCUCAAUAGUGUAUCCUGAAGCAAAGGUGUGACAACAGGAUCUGGAGGAACCUGGUCCUCCCUGUUAUCAAUCUGAGGUUCUGUAGAGACCUCUCUAGCACGACCUCCCACUGGUGCUGCUCCACGUCCACGACCUCUGGCUACUGUCGUACUACUAGCACGACCUCUAGCUCGAGAUCUACCCCUACCCCUAGCUGGGGCCUCAACAACUGCCUCGGGAAGUGCCUCCCCUCUACCACCAGUAAAAUUAGUUCUAGUCCUCGUCAUCUGUCAAAAGAGUAUACAACAACUCAGUACUAACGAAGGCAACUACGCACGAUGAGAAAGAAUGAACAAAAGGAAGUUUCCUAGUAAUCUUUAUAGCCUCUCAGAGAUGAGUACAGACGUCUCCGUACUGAUCCUUGAGACUCUACGUAGACUCGGCUUGUAUACACGUGAGACCUAUGAACUUGGGGCUCUGAUACCAUUUUGUCACGACCUAAAAAUGGGUGUGAUGGCACUCGUCUUAUCCCACCAAGACAAGUCAGCCUAAAAUCCAAAAUCUAACAAAGUGCGGAAGUAAAUGACAAUCCAACAACAAUUUCUAUUAUGAAACCGAGUCAUAUUAAUUCAAUCCCCAAAACCAGGUUGUCACGUGCACAAGCCUCUAAUGUAAACAUUAGAAUUGAAAUAAAUUAGAAGUCUAAAAUGAAGUUGUCUGUCAAAUAAAAACAAAGUCAUAAACUGGAGUAGGAAAGUUCGCUGAGAUGACAAGCAACUACCUCACAAUCCUCCACAAGAUGCCUCGAAAACGAAGAGAAUGGAAGGUAUCACAAAAAUCCGGGCUCGUAACCUACAAAAAUUUGUAGAAGCAAGAGGUGAGUACCAAACCACGCGGUACCCAACAAGCAAACCUCUAAACACAAGUUAAGUAAACAAAAUACGGGUACUCCUUAUGCCCUAUCUAAACCUCCACGCUACAGCCUAACAGUUUACCAAACACACCACUCAAUAACCACACUCUAUCAGUUUACACAUUCUCAAUAACAACUCAAUAUUCAACAGUCACAAGCUUCACAGAGAAACAAUCACAAGAUCAGCAAAACACAUGUUCAAGUUCAUCAAUAAUAAAAAUGUGCAAUGCCAUGAGAUGCAAUGUCAAAUAUCGUGAUGCAUGUCUUUCCUAACGAUACACACCCGCUGUCUCUCAGACUGGGACCCAUGGGGGACAUAUCUGUCCAUGCAUCUAUCGCGGUGCACGACACGACCCUUGAUAAAAUAGUAACCUUCGCGGCACGCGAUACGUCCCUCGAAAUAUAAUAUCCAUCGCGGCGCGCGAUACGACCCUCGAAAAUAGUACAUCAUCCUCUUACCACAACCAUGUCUCAGAUACAAUGCAAAUGACAUGCUCAAAUGAAAAGGAGGAGAUAACCAUUUGAUAACAAAGCACAAUUUACAACAAGAAAUACAACACCAACAAAUAAACAACAAGUCUCCAAAUCAUUCUCAACAUCACACAAGGAAAUACACGAAUUUUGUACGGUUAACAAGAGUUUAGAAAUCCACUUGCCUUAGCCAAUCGAAUAAUUACUGUUAGACUUGUUUUCGUUGAGCUUCCAAACCAAUGGAAUCUAUUCAAGUAUAUAUUCACAAUAAGGUUUCAAAACUAACAACACUCACACUUUUUAUGUGUUUAACCUUGACCUAAAAAUUCACCCCAAAUUUAUCAUCAAGUUUGUAACUCUUGAUGUCAAUUAACAAUUCAACGAUCAUAUUUUCCAAGUUUCAAGGCUAAGUUUAAAUCUUCUUCCAAACACGUACAUCAUUAUCAACACAUUUGGUUUUUUCCCAAUUAACAAUUACAAAAUAAUACUUACCGACCUAGUUAUAGGAUAUUAAUGUUUUAGUUAUUAAUUAUGGAAAUAAUAUUUCUCCCAUGGUUAUCAUUAAUUGUUGGUAAGGAAUUAUUAUAAAAUAUAUAUAUAUUGUUAGCAUGCUUUGCAGUUUGCUCCUACCUGGACGAGAAUGAAGCUACGCCAGCCGCCACUCACAGGUAGAUUCUGUUUCCCUUUCUAUCUUCUUUUCUUCUAAAUUACUUAUGUUAUUAAAAGUAACACUCCUUAUUAACCUAUAUUAAUAUUUUAGACUUGACCCAUUAUUAUUAAAAAUAACUAAAUUACCCCCAAAUUAAUUAAUAUAGUUAAAUGACUAUUCAAAAUUAUAAAAAUGUAAAGUUAAUUUAUUAUUUUUAAAAUACACAUGAUUUUAUCAAAAAAAAAUUAUUUAUUAAUAUGUAAAAUUACAAUUCUUAAAUUUUUCAUUUUUGUUGUUUUUCUUAGAAUAUUUCAAGUUGUUUAUUAAUAAGUUUUUAUAUUUUCAUGUUUGUUAUUUUUCGGGAGUUCUAAAGUUAUUUCAAAAUUAUGAUUAAUUUAUAAUUUUAAAAAUUUAGUUGCUUUCCUACCGAUCUAUUUACUUAUAAUAAAAUAUUUGUCUCAAUAACUCUAAUUUGUUUAUAUUUCAUUUUCUAUAAUUAAUAUUCUUUAUUAGUGUAAUAAUGUACAAAUAUUACUCUUAUUGUGUUAUAAAAGUUCAAAGUCAUAUUACCUCUUAAUUACUAUGACUUUUUAUUCUUAGAAAUUUAUUAUGUUAAAUGUAAUAUUUAUUUAAAAUGUGAAAAAUAUUUUUUAAUAUUUUGUGUUUAAGCCAAAUAAAAUUAAAAGAAAUAGAAAUUGUGUAUGUGUCAUUUUUUUGAAUCUUUUUUUCGUAGUUAAUUCUCUCUUUUGUUCUCUUUUAUGUUAUUUUUAAAUUUUAUAUUUUUUUCCAAUAUAAGUUGUCCCAAAAAUAAUUGGAUAUCUAAACCUAAGUAUAAUGAUAAUAAUAAUAAUAAUAAUAAUAAUAAUAAUAAUAAUAAUAAUAACAACAAUAAUAAGUAUGAAAUUUAACUAAUUAAGAUUUUUAAACUUUUCUUAUUUAAAAUUUAAUUAUUAAAAAGUCAUUAAUACAAAUAUUAAAUUAAUCUAAUAUUGUAAAUUAAAAAUAAUUAAAACAUGUGAUGAUUGGGUCAUAACGAGGACAAGUAAUAGUAAUUGUGGAUAAUGAUUUAUUAUAGUGUUGGCUAACUAUAUAGUCAUGAAUACUAACUAUUAAUAGUAAUCCGAGUUAUACAUUGACGAAAAAUUAUACUAAGAAUAUAAUUUAUAAAAUCACAAAUAAGCAUAAAAGAACGCUUAGAUGUAAAGUUUACAUUAAUAUAUAUAAAUUAUACUAAGAAAAUCUCAAAUAAAAAAGAAAAAUGAUCACAAGUUUACAUUUAAGUAGUUCUAAUAUCACUCAAUUCUUAUUACCUUCCCUUUUUCUCUAUAAAAUUUAUUUUUAAUAUUUAACUUUUUGAAGUUCACAUAUAUUGAUUUCUUAAUAAAUUUCAUAUUUAAUCUAAAUAUUUUUCAUAGUUUCUCUUUUAUAAAAUUAUGUGAUUAAAAAAAAUUCUUCUUAUUAAAGUAAUUAUUGAUAUUAAUAUGUAAUUUUAUUUUAAUCAUUUUCAUAACCGCGCGAAUCGAGGCUAAGUACACUAGUAUAAAAUAAGUAGUAAGUGUUAGUUUAGUUAUAUAAUCAUCUCGAUAACCUAUUCCCUUUUGGAUGUAACUUUCUUCUUUUUUUCUUUUUGGAAAAAAUACAGAGACGUAGAAAAUCGAAUCGAAAAAUAUUUAUUUUGAUGUGUUUUUAAAUAUUAUUUAUAUGUUUUCAUAGUUUUUAUCUUUUAACAUGUUUUUAAAAAAUUUUGAGUCUUAAAAUUUUAAAUGGUUCAUAAAGAUUAUAGUCCAUAGAUAUUAGUAACUCUAAUAAAACUUAAUUUAAGAUCAAAUCAAUAUUAAUGCUAACAAAAUAAAUUAAUUCAACACUAAGAAUGACAAUAAUGUUGAACAUAUGCUUCUUAGUUUUACAUUCGUUCAGACAUUUAAAAUACAUGAUCUAUUUUUUAAUGUUUAUUCAUGUAAUUAAUUCUUAUUAAAUUUAUUUUAGCAUGAUUCAAUAUUUUUAAAUUAUGACCAUUUUCUUUAAGACUUAUCAAUUUGCAAUAUUUAUUUUAUACAAUUUCAUUAUUAUUAUUUAUUAAAUUUUUAGUGUCAUUAUUCAUCUCAUAUUUUGUUUCAUUUUUCUUUAGAAACACAGUAAAUAGUUAUAUUUUGGUUGGACUAAAGAAAUAUUAGGAGUACGAGUUAAUUGAGUUUGUACAAAUACUUUACCGGAAAAAUAAAAAAAUUCAAAGUUAAUUAGUUUAGUUUGUUUUAAAAAUUUAAAAACUGGACACAAUAAUUUAGUUUGGUAUUUCAAAAACUUGAACUAACUCAAAAAAUUCAAAUUUUAUUAGUUUGAUUUUUGAUUUAAAAAUUUAAAAAUUAUCACAAAUUUAAUUUAAUAUUUAAAAAAUUCAAACUAACCCAGUUAACAUAUACCCAAUCAAAAAUGUACAAGUAAACAAAACCACAUUAUCCUUUUUUUUUCCUCUUAUUGUUGAAUGGUUCAAAUGUUACAAACAUAAUUAAAAUUGCUUAUUGGUGUAAUAUCAUUUUCAUAUGCAAUUUACCUAUCAAUAUCAUUAUAUGGUCUUUAUGCGCCGUUAAUAUCAUCAUAACAAAUCAGCCCCACGUAACCUUUUUUUUUAUUUGUCAAAAAAAUAUAUUCCUUUCGAGUCCAUUUCACACUUCAAAAAGUCGAUAAACUGGUCUUUAAGUAGAAAAUUAGAGGAUUAAUUAAUCAUAUUUAACUUUCUCAAGUAUCUUCUUUUAGAAUUCAUAUUUCGUAUCUAAAUAAUUAUUUGUAAUAUCACAUUAUUAAAAUAGUACAUUUUCUUAUGAGAUAUCAUGAUUUGAAAUCUUAAAAACAUAAAAACAUGUUAUCUGUUGUAACAAAUAAACAUGACUUGAUAAUAUAAGAAUUAUUUAUAUGAAUCGCGCGCGUUUAAAACUAUAACUUUGUUUAUUUCCUUUGAACUCUCAGGCCAGUUUGACUUGUUCAUUCAAAUUACUUGCCAUGACAUACGCAAUUUUAGACAAUAACGUGCCACCAAUUUCAUAAAAUUUCCUUCAAUAUUAUCAGACUUUUUCUUGGUAGUGUUACUUUAUAUAUACGACAUGUAUACAUAUAUAAUAUUUAUAGACUUUGGUUAGUAUAUAAAUAUUAUAUUACUCCUAGAAAGACAUUGCAAUGACUACUACUUUGAGAAUCAAUAGAUCGUGACACUAUGAUGAAUAUUAUGGCAUGGCUUAAGAAACUUAUUUUUUGAAAAAUAUUUUUUAUUGCCAACCAAUGUUGAAGGAAUCAUCAAAUAGAUUAAUUAUUUUGUUGAUAUAAUAUAUAUAAUAUUAAUAUUGUUUGUAACAAAUUUUAAAGUGAUCAAAAGUAAAUUACUAAUACAAAAAAAUAUGAAGAAACAUAAUUUUAUUGAUCAAGAUUGCGGGUACAAUUCUGUUCCUCUCUUGAUUCUAAUCUCUUAAGAUUUAUCAUGAUUCGAGGGCCGUUAGUGACAUAUUUCUCGAACUAUGAUGAUUAAAUGACCUCUAUAUGAUUAUUCCAUCAAUUUGCGGAAUAUUCGACAUGAAUUUAGUACCUUUAUAUAUGAAUGAAUUAGGGUUUAGGGUUGAGUAAUUCUUAAGAAAUAUAAUUGAAACUAAACACACCUUCUAGAGUCCAUAUUAAAUUAAACACGUCUUUUAGAGUACCACAAAAUGUUAAUGUGUACAAAUGCCCCCAGCUUCAAAGCUUGUAGGAGUAUAGACUUGAUGAAAUUCAAAGACAAGGCUUGAAGUGGUCAUUCUUCCUCAUUUACAGCUUCAGAUUUUCAGAUUUUAUUUACGAGAGAAGAGAUGAAGGGUUAAUUUGAUUCCACUGGUCGUAUCAAUUUGUUUGUAACAAAUUUCAAAGUAGUUAAUUAUUGUGAUUUUCUAAUAUGUAUUUCUUAAUAUUUAAAUAAUAUAUAUUACUUCCUUGUCCAAUUUAUGUGGCACUAAUAAAAUUUUGAAAAUCAAAUUUAUUUUCUAUGUCUUCAAUUUUUUAAUCAUUGUGAUAUAUAUUAUUUUAUACCAUCUUUAAACAAUAUAUAUUACUUAUAUAUCCCUAUUUAUUUGGCACUGAUUCAAGAAUUAAAUUGCAUUUUCUUUGUCUUUUAAAUAUUUUAAAAUUUUAAUUAUUAUAAUUUUUAGUAUUUUUUAUGUAAUUUUCAAAUAUUAUAUAUGAUUUCCUUUGUUUCAAUUUAUGUUGCACUGGUUCAAUCAAUUUUUUUAAUUUAUUUUUAAAAAAUUCAAGUUCUUGAUUAUGAGAUUUACAAUAAUUUUUAAAUAGUUUUCAAAUAAUACGAUUUUCAUUAUGUUUUAUACAACUCUUAAAUAUAUAAAAGACAGAACAUAUAUGAUAAAUAAAUUUUUAAAAAAACUAUUAAAAAACAAAAAUGCCCCUAAAGUGUUUUUUUUCUUCUAUUCUUGCUAUGCUGCCAAGCACGCAUAUUGACUAGGUUAUCCUUUCUUAUAUAUUAGUAACUGAUUUGCUAUUAAUAGAAACAAACUGUAAAAUGAUAUAAAAAGAGGAUAAUUAUCAAAGAAUAAUACUCCCACCUUACAAUACUUUUAUUUGUCUUCUAUAUAUCAAAUUAAUAUUUAUUUUAAUUUACUCGAUUUUAAUACCUUACAAAAGAUACGUUCCCACUUCGUAUUUAAUUUAUUCUUAUUCUUUAUCAUAGUUAUAUCUGAAUGCAUUUUUAAAAAUAUUGAAUUUAUUAAAUUUAAGGGAUGAUAUGUUAAAAUUGUUAUUACUCCUUAUAAAGUGUAUCAAGUCAACAUUAAACAUGUAAUAACGAAUGAAAGAGAUGUUCCUUUUUUUUUGUUUGACUCGAUACAGGAUUUAAAAAAAUAAAAGAUUUUUUUUAAAAAUUUUAUAGUCUUACAUUAAAGUUAUAAAAAAUAUAUCAAAUGGCUUUUAAGUUUAUGACCUUAAAAUGCCACGUGAAAAAUUGAAAUUAAAAUAUAUAAAAAAAAGGAAAGAUCAUUUUUUCAAACAAACUAAAAAAAAGUAGGUUUUUUUUUAAAAUGGAGGGAGUAUCACAUUAUAUAUUCAAAAUGCCAACAUCUCUUGUUUCAAUGUAAAACAUGUACUCCCUCGCAACUACAUAUCGUAUUUACUAAAAAUAGAUGUUACUUAGUACUUGUCAUUUCACAAAAUCAAUUUAUAAAUAACUCUAUUUUUCCUUUUAUUACUCUUGAGAUGUAUUAGCUUCGGAAAUAUAAAUUUGACAGACAUAAAAAAACAAGUAAAUAAUUCAUGUCCAUUGAUUAAAUUAAUUAGUGGGAAAAGACAUAAAUUCACUUCCGAGCUUGUCCUGAAAGUCAGUUACACAUAUAAACUAUUAUAGUGACGUAAUACACAUCUCUGCUACUAAAUAGUGAAUUAUUUACCCCUAAGACGUGUAUCAUCACACUCUUACAAUGAGAGGUGUAUCACACUUGCACCACAUCAAUACCAUGUCACUGCCAUAUCGGAUGUCAUGUCAAAUUUUGACUAAAAUUUUCUAUAUCAGUCAAUUGUUCAUCUUCACACCACCAUGAAACCACUACCAUUGCCACCAUAUUGCUACCAAAUCUAUAUUUUCACCAUGAAAAUAAAAAUAAUUACCAUAAAUUUCACCACUUACGAUCAAAUUCAUCAUCGAAAUCAUACUAUCACUAUUAUCCCCACAAAAAUUAAAAAGAUAUACAACAAAAUUUGAUACUCAUAAACAAAUUAAUUAUCAAAAUUACAUCAUCACCAUCAAAUUAAAGGUACAAACCCAUCACCAAAUAUCACUAUUAUCAUUAUUAAUAUUGAUAUUUUUUUCUCCACCUCCUUUAAUUCUCACUUUUUUGUCACCUCACGCUAAUAAAUUCAUCAUUAGUAUACUUUAUUUUUUAAACUUAAUCAUUAAUUUUAUCAACCACCAACAAAGUUGAAAAGAAAAAAAUCAAAAUGAAAAUAGUGAAAUCGAAUAUGUAUUAAAAUUGAAUAUAACAGGAGGAAGGGGGAAGAGGAUUUGGUGGAGGUAUAUAGUGGGGUAGAUGAAAAAUUGAGUUAAAAAUAUGAUUACAAAAAUAAAGAAGAAGAAGAUGGUUGCAUGUGAGAAGAAUAACAAGAGGCGUUGGGUGGAGGGUGGGGGCAAGGUUAUAGUAAAAAGGAAGAUUUUAAUUUGUUUUUUUACUUUAUUUACUGUUAAAUAUGUUUUUUUUAAAAAAAUUUUUGUCAUAUCAGUUUUGUGGAAUAAAAAAAUCAUUUUUGAAUAGUAAAUGUAAUAGGUCGUGUGAUACUUUAAGCAUGUAAUAUUAAUUGACUUUUCAAGAAAAGUUUAAGAGUGAAUUUAUGUUUUUUUUCUAAAUUAAUUAAAAUAAAAUAAUUUAUGUUCAUUGAUUGAAAACAUAACUUUAAGAGAAUACUAAUAAAAAUAUAAUAAUAACUUACCUAAUUUGUAAAAGAUAUAAAAUACAAUAAAAUGAUGAUAACUAAAUAGAAACCGGAGAAACUUCACAUUAAAUCAAAUUGGCUCCAAAUUUCUCAGUGGAAAUUAAAUGCUCUUGGAAACUUUGUAGCAUUAGUUGCUCACUUAUACUUUCUCGUUUUCACUUCAUGAAAUUAAUAGAUAAUUUUAUAAAAUUUAUCUUUAUCAUAAAGUUUUGUUAUAUAUUUAUAUUUUUUUUAUCCAUUUUUAUUUGUCAUGUUGCAUUUUUCAAAAAUCAAUUUGAUUAAUUUUCAGAGUUAAAUUAGAUUAUAUUAAUUUGAUAUGUUAAAUAAAGAAAUUUAGAUAUUCAAAAACUCAAAACAUACUAAAAAUAAUACUAUUUUUACAUAUCAAUAUAAUGAAAAAAUACAUCAUAGGCUGUUACUCAAAGUUCUGUUACUUUGAUUCUAUGAAAAUAAUGACAAUUAAAAUUGGAUAGAGGUAGUAUAAUAGUAAAAUUAUCUAUGUAUUCAUAGUUUCUUAAAAAGUGUGUGAACUGCGAAGUCAAUUGAGGAAAAAUAUUACUUUCUCUGUACCUAAUUUACUUGUCUACUUUUCUUUUUUGGUUGUCGCUAAUCAUUUGUCCAUUUUGACAAGUCAAAAAAUAAUUUUUUUACCUAUUGUACCCCAAUUAAUUACUUUGAAAAAGAUAAAAUUCUUAAAAAUCUUAAAUUUUUAAUGCAUCUAUUUCAUAAUUAUUAAUGAUAAAAUAAUAAAUUCGUUUUAUUAAUAAUUAUUUUUUUAAAUAGAUGUAUUAAUUGAAAAAUAAACAAAUCAAUACAUACAUACAUACAUAUAUAUAUAUAUAUAUAUAUAUAUAUAUGUAUGUAUGUAUAUAAGGACCAUAGACAAGGUGAUGUGGCACCUCUCUAUGGCCUCCAUUUGUAUUUUAGUUUUUUUUCCUUUUUUACAAAAAUAAAAUAAUUAUUAUAUCAUAAAAAUGAUUACUAAAAUUUAUUACAAAUAAAUAGUUUAUUAAUGGAGGAUCAUUUAUAACAAAAAUUCUUCAUCUUUCUUAUUUAUUUAUCUCACUUAUAAUAAAAAGAGAAAUAUAAUUUAUUUAUUUUUGACUUUUUUAAAAUUUAAAUUAAUUAUUUUAUUAUAAAAAUAUAUUACUUUAUUUAUACAAAUAAAUAUUUUAUAAAUGUAGAAACAUUUAUUAAAAAACUCUCUAUAUUUUUUUUCUAUUUGUUUCUCUCACUUCUAAUCAUGAAUAAUAGUUUUUUUUUUACAUUUUAAGUAUUUUUAUUUUUAAUUUUUAAUUUAUUCACUAAGAGUUACUAAUCAUGACUUGCUCCUCUUUAAUUUUUACUUUUAAUAAUAUUCAUAACUCUCAUAAUUUUUGUGUCCAUAACCUCCAAAUUAAAUUUGUAAGUUUAUGAUGUCUUGUGGUAUCCAUUUAUUUUGCCUAUAAAUUCAUAUUAGUUUAAUGAAGAUUCACAUUCACAUUCACAUUCACAAUUAUCCUUUCUCUUUUCAUCAUAUAGGUUUGGUUUGUAACAAAAAAAAGUAUGUAAAGGUAAGAAAUAUUUCAUUGCAAAUUUUUAUUUUUUAUUUUCUCUAUUUCUCUCUAUAUGUUUGUGAAUGAAACUAAAUGUAACCAAAAAAAGUACAUGAAGUUAAUAAAUAUAUCAUUCUCAAGUCCUUAUUUUUUUCAUUUCUUUUAUUUUGUUUAUAUGAAUUUAUAUUUAUUUUCAUGAAGAUUCACAUACAAAGUUAUAAUUUCUCUUCUUCAUAAUACUUUUUUGUAAAUUAACUAACAUGUAACCAAAAAAAAGUAUAUGAAGGUAAAAUAUAUUUCAUUCUAAAGUCUUUCUUUUUAUUUUUAUGUACUUGGACAUGCUUUCUUAAUUAUUAUUUUUUUAUGUUUGUAUUAUAAUUUAUUAAGUAAGUAUGAUUAAAAAAAUCUUUGUAAUUCUUAACAAUGUGUUGUCCGUAUGUAAUUGCUCUUUCUAAUAGUUAGUUUUCUAGAUUUAGUAUAGUUUGAUUAUAAUAUUUGUUAGAUUUCAAGAAAUAAUUAUUAUUUAGUAUUGUUAGUACUAUUGAAAAGAUAAUAUACAAAUAUAUUAAAUAUAAUUUAUAUUUCGUUCUUUCUUUUGACAUAAUUAUUUUUAAUUGGUAUAUGAUUUUUUUAAUUCAGUUGGUUGCAUAUAAUAAAGAGUUUGAUAUAUGGAUCAAAACAUGAUGACGGAUCUCUUUGCAAGAAGAUGGUACAAGGAAAAAAAAUGAAGCAUAAUUACAGAUUAUUUUUUCACUUUGAUUAAAUUUUGAUUUAUAUAAAUAAUUUAGCUAAAUAUAUUAUAUUGUCAAUGCUAAUUAUUUGAUCCUUUAGUAUUUCUACUUUCUUUUUGUUAUGAAAAAAAUUCGUAUAAUUAUUUCAUUUUAACAACAACAACAAAAUUUAUGAUGAUUAGUUUCAUUUUUAUUAUAAUUAUAAAAAGUAAUUGAAAAAUAAAAUAUUAUUUUCAUGAUGUUAUUUUUUGUGUAUGUAACAAUCUGUCACCGUUCUUUUUGCUUCGAAAUGUAUUUAUAAUUUUUAUGUAGUCACCAAUUAUUAUAUUUUCUCUGUUCAUUUUUUGUAUUUUCACCCCUUAUUUUAUUUAUUUAUUUUACAAAUAAAAUCAAUACAUAAUUAGUAAUACAUUUAUUGUCUAAUAAAAAUAUAUAUUUGAAUUAUUUACAACUCAUGUCUCUUCAUCUUACUUGUAAUGGUUGAUAUUAAAUAUCAUUCAUAACUUUUAUAUAUUUAUUUUUCGUAAGUCUAUAAAUAUUUAAUUAAUGUUUAAAAAUUAUAAUAAGUAAAUGUAAUAAUAAAAUUUAAAAAUAUCAAUGUUAUUUUGACGAAAUCAGAGUUUGAACAGAACAUUAGUACUGCUACAAAAGAUGGAACAUUAGUACUACUACAAAAGAUAUAGAAAAUUAAAACAUAUAAAAUAUUUUCAACCUAGUACAAUAUAUUGUUAUUCCAACAUAUUAUCUCUUAUUCCAUUUACUUCACCACGGUGAAUAUUUUGUUCUAAUAUAUAUAUAUAUAUAUAUGUAUGUAUGUAUGUAUGUUUUAAAAAAGUUUAUGAUAUCGCAGAUGAGGAGAAAUAUUAACAUCAUCUAAUAUAUUCGAUACUGAUCUAAAUAUUACAUAUUUCAUGUUAUUAUCUUAUAGAUAUUUUAUAUAGUCACAUGGAGCAUGAAUAAUUUCACUAGUAAUAAUUAAAGAUAGAAGAAGUAUUAGAUAGAAUAGUAAUAAUUAAAAACACAAAAAAAGUAUUAGACAGAAGAGUGUGUGCAUAUAUAUAUAUAUAUACUCAAUUUUUUGUUUGAAUUAGUUUAUUAUUUUACCCAUUAAAUAUGACUCAAACUAUGAGCUCAUUAAAUUAGAAUUUUAUGAUGACCUUCUAGGAUAGCAUGAAGGAUAGUAGAACAGUAUUCCAUAAAGUUUUUCUUAGGACUUCUCCAUAACAAUAACGUCAACACAAAAAAACAAACUUUUUUCAAACUCAUGCAUGUGAUUUCUCAAUCUUCUAGUGGAAAAUAUAUUGAGAGGGUUUAAUAUAUAUGUCAAAUAUAGUAAAUUUGUCAAAAUAUUCCGUUCAAACAUUUACAUUCAUCAAGUUAUAAUCGAUGUUAGUCGCCGAUUCAUAAUGUUACUAUUACUAGUGAUAGAGUUAGAAUUUUUGAUAAAAAAUUUAAAAUCUGAAAAAAUAAACGCAUAUAUAAAUAAAAUAAAAAUUUAAUUAUAUAUAAAUAAUAAAAACCCUCGAUAUAUGCUGACUCCGUCUGUAUAUUAAACACUUCGUUAAUAAUGACAAAAUUUUAUUAUCACAAGAUGAACGUGAAAGUUUGAUUGAAUAAUGAAUUAAUUAAAAAUAAAAAAUUACCUAUUGGACUUUUUUUUUUGUUGGUAAAACCUAUUGAUUUUUAGCUAUGCCUAGACAUUAGUUUUAAAAGGUCAAAUAAGAUUUUUUCAUUUGUCAAAACAAUACGCAAAUCGGACCAUAUUGUUUCCAAUUUUUUUGAGCUAUUUUUGGUCAUAAAACAUCAAGUAAAGAGAUACUUUUCUGUUAAUUUUUAUUUAUUACAAUUAGAUUUGGCACAUAAAAUAAUUAUUAACAUAAGUAUUAUAUCAAACUAUUCCUAUAAAAUAACACUUAGUACCUAAAUUUUAAAAAAUGAUUUGAAAAAAAAUAGUAUUUAAUGUUGAGGGUAAAAUAUGAAAAAAAUAUAAUGGACUUUUCUUGAUACGUUAAAGGUGAUAAAUAAAAUUGAAAAUCUAUUUUAGGAGUAAGUGACAAGUAAAAAUGAAUGAAUGAAAUGAAACUAUGAAAGAAUACAAAUAACCUCGUUCCAUUUUACUUGUUUAUCCUAGUUGGCACGCUUCUUAUGAAACUACUUCCUCCGUUUUAUUUUAAUAUAAUUACUUCUAUUUUUUUUUCACGAAUUGAAAAUUAUAGUCGAUUCUAAUUAUUUUAGAAUGAUAUAUUUUGGGAUAAUUUAUUAAAGUUAAAGUAAGAAUGGGAUGGGAAGAGUAUUUAUUAGGGGUUUAAUUUGUUUAGUUAAUUAUUUUUACUUUGAAAAUCUAAGUUUGAUUAUUACUCCUUUAGCUACUUAGAGUUAUGAUAAUAAUAAUUUUGAGAUCAGUUAUGAGGGAGUUUAUAUAUUUUAUGUAUUAUCUAUGUUGGUAUGUAUUAGUUGUAAUUGCUCCUUUUGCCAAAGAAAGUAACUUGCUUAAUUUUUUUAUAUGGCAGCAAUGUUUAUCAUAUUACCACGAUAAAAAAUAUACAUAUCUUUUCGUUGCACUAAUCUUAGUCAAAAUAUCUGGGACUCGAUAUUCAUCCCUAAUACAAUGAUUUAUGGAUGAGUAAUAAUCAAUUGUAAGUACCAUUUAGGCUUCACUUUUCCUCGAAACAUCUGGAUGAUUGACAAUGAAUCCGUUUCAAGGAUAACAUCGUUGUAAUCACUAUUAGUUAUUCAUCGUUUAGUUAUUUAUAUAUUAGUUAUAUACUAGUGUAGCUUUUUACAUAUAAGUUUUUCAUAUGUUAUCUUAUUUAUUUUAUAUUUUUUCCUACAUAAAUAUACUUAGAUCAUAGAUGUCUUUAUAACUUAGAAUUUGAAGUCAAAAGGGCAAAAAAGAUUAUCAAAAAUUUUAAAAGGGUACAUUAAUUUUUUUUAAAUCAAAAGGAUAAUAUUGCUCCUGACGGAACGAUUUUCUUAUGACAAAAUUGACGUGUUAAUUUUUUUUAGAAAAAUAUAAAAAUUGCUGCUGUGGUAGCGAUUUCAUCCAAAAAAAAAUUCUUUUUCCUUAAAUCGCAUCCAUAGCAGCGAUUUGUCAAAAAAAAAAUUUAACAAAUAUUGCAAGGGCAGACCAAAUGUUGGACCAAAAUGCCAGCCUCUAUUAACUUUUUUAAUGAAAAAAAAAUUGUUGCUCUAUAGCAACGAUUUCAAUUUCAAUUUUUUUUAUGCAAUGCUGCACUCGCAGCGAUAUUUUUAAGAAAUUGUUAGAAAAAAAUCACUCCGUCAGGAACAAUUUACCGUUUUGAUUAAAAAAAAUUUAUAUAUCCUUUCAAAAAUUUUGACAAUUUUUUUAACUUCGAAGUCUCAUAAUUUAUAUAAUUAAUUAUGUGACUUUUUACAAAUUACAAAAGAGACAUUAAUAUUAGUAUUAUUACAUAAAUAAAAUUACUGUUAAUACUAUACAUGAAUAACUUUCUGCUUUAUAAUCAGCUAUCAAAUGACCUCAAAUGAUAUUUAGAAAACAUUACUAAUAAUAUAAAGGACAAAUAAUAUAAAAUGAUGACCUAAGUUGCAACUAAGUAAAAAUGAGAAGAAAUAUGUGGCUUGACUUGUGGAAAGAAAAAAGCAAUAGGUCCACAAAGGGGGCCAAGGCCAACAUAUGAAUUGGUCAAUGUACAUCUUCCAGACAGAAUCCUGACUUUUAUUAUUCAUUUCUCCAAUAUGCAUGACCUCUUGCAAUCACAAAAGACUUUUGAGUUUUUCUUUUUUCCUUUUUUUCUAACUUGGAUUGUUCAAGUCAAUUGUAUGCCCACACUAGUGGACUACCACACUUGUUUUAUCAUAUUACUAAAAACACUAAUUUUCAAAAAUAAGAAUGUGACAUGUCUUUUACCUUUCAAAAUUCUCCUUGUAAUGCAUGCAUCAUCAUAACUUCAUCUUUUGUACUUCUCUUCUUUCUCUACUUCUUCUUUAAUACGAUAUUCAGUAUCUAUAUUGAAAUAUAAUUAAAUUUACAUUCGCACCAAAAAAAUUCAUAUUUGUGGGUGGGUUGGGUUAAAAUGCUCCAUAUAUAGCUAACAAAGCCGAACCCCAUAUCAUGAGGUCACAAACCCGAUUUUUCAGGUUAUGAUGUCACCUACUACAGUCCACCAGUAGGUGAUGUUUGGAAGCUAUAGAUGUAUUCUAAUUUUAUAUUAGAGAGAUUAAGAAUAUGUAUUAUGGAGCCAAGACUCAACUAGGGAUAUAGGGAGAGUAUUCAAAGCAUUGUCUAGUCGUAAUGACCUUGCACUCUGGAAUAACUCUUUAAACAUUUCUAUUUAAUUAUUAGGGGAUUGAAAAGACAAUACUGGAAUAAAUAUUAGGUUGGAGGUUUGGAGAUAAACCUAGAGUCUUAAGAGUUAAGGUUGAGAAAGACUAAGAUAGAAUAUAUAUAUAUAUAUAUAUAUAUAUAUAUAUAUAUACUUAGAGUACAUGUUUUGUGACGCCAGUAACAUCAAAGAUGUGAAAGUGAAGAUUGAUACAUAAGUCAUUUUCAAAUAAUGAAGUUUCAAAUAUCUAGAGUUAAUAAUUUAAGCAAAUGGGGAGAUUGAUGAGGAGGUUACACUUUUAAUCGAAGUGGAGUUGAUUAAAAGAAGCUUACAUUUGUGUCUUGUGUGAUAAGAAUGUUAGACUAAGAUAUAAGUUUUAUAUAUAAAAUGGUGGUUAAGUCAACUAUGUUGGAUGGGCAGGGUUGUUGGCCGGUUAAUAAUUCACAUGUCUAUAAGAUGAUAGUAGCACAAAAAGGAUGUUAAGAUGAAUGUAUGAUAUAUAAGAAGAUAUAAGAUAAAUAACAAAGAUAUCUUGAACAAGGUGGGCAUAAAAUAAGAUGAGCGACGCCAUACUUAAAUAGUUCAAAUAUGUGAAGAUAUGAGAGAUUGUCUACAUUGAGUAUAAGGAGAGGUAGACCGGAGAAGUAUAAGGGAAAUAUGAUUAGAGAACACAUAUCAUAUUUAUAGCUUACCAAGGUUUGAAACUUUUCGGGCUGAAUCAAAACUUUAAGCAGACUCAAUCAGACACUAUACGAUAAACCAAAAAAAAAAGGACAAAACUUUUAUAUUAUAGCUUUAUAAUGUGUUUAUACUUAGUUGUUAAGUGAGGUGGACUAUAUUUGCAACGUUCCAAAGGGAAGAAGACAAGUAUUUUGAAAAUGAGGAAUUACAUAAUUAUUCGAUUAGAAUUUGCAAAUUGUAUGCUGGACAAUUAUCAGUGAAAUGAUAGUAAUUUUAAUUGGAAUAAUAUCACACAUAGUUAAAUGAUAAUAGUAUUUCAUAUGAAAAAUAUCUCACACACAGUUAAAUAAUAAUAAUAAUAAUAAUAAUAAUAAUAAUAAUAAUAUUUAAUUGGAAAAAUAUCAAACUUUGGUAUAAGUAGAAUUUAAAUCUCAGACCUUCCAAUUGCGCACCUAACUCAUAAAUGACUCGAACCUUUUACCAAGUAUUCCUUACACACUUUUCUUUUAUCACAAUAUCCUAAUAGAAAUUUUUGAGUGGACUCCCGGCAUGUUCAAUAGGGAUCUUUUGGAACUUAAGAAAAUACAUUCUUUGUUUUAUAUUAAUUUUUUACAUAUUUAUCAACAAUUUAUUAGGGAUAAUGCACAAGUACCCCCUCAACCUAUGCCCGAAAUCCCAGAGACACACUUAUGCUAUACUAAGGUCCUAUUACCCCCUGAACUUAUUUUAUAAGUAAUUUUCUACCCCUUUUUAGCCUACGUGACACUAGUUUGAAAAAAAUGUCAACCAUCGUUGGGCCCACAAGAUAGUGCAACGUAGGUCGAAAAGGGGUAAAAAAUUAUUAAUAAAAUAAGUUCAGGGGGGUAAUAGGACUUUAGUAUAGUAUAAGUGUGUCUCUGAGAUUCCGGGCAUAGGCUAAGGGGUACUUGGGCAUUAUCCCAAUUUAUUAAUCAAAGAUUUUUUUUUUCUAAUUUAUUCUUGUUGCUCCUUAAUAAAUAUAUAUUUUAUUUAUAACUAAGACCAAGCUCAUUGUUGGUAUUUGAACAAUUACAAUAUCAACUAAUAAUUACUUGUUUGAACUCUUCAAAUUUAUACAAUAUAAUCAAUAAAUUAAUCAGAGCACUUAAUUGUAUCAAAGAUAAAAUGAAAAGAAUUAAUUGAUUUUCAUCUCUAUUUUUGUAUAUUACAAAAUACUUUUAAUAAUCUUAACAACUAGUAUGUGAAGAAAAGAAUAACGUAUCUGAAUAUUUAGAAAUAAUCAAAAUUAUAAACUAUCCUUUUCAAUAUAAAUGUGACAUGAUGUUACAACCAUAAAAAUAUUUGAAACAUAUUAAGACCAUAAAUUUCAAAAAAAAAAUAAAAAUCGUUCACAUAAAAUAAAUGGAGAGAAUAAGUAUUUCUUCUAAGUCAUUUUUGAAUAAUCAACAAAUUAAAAUAGGCCAAUUAUGUUGGGUGGUCUUUGACCAAAGCAACUACAAUCUCUAGACCUUUCUCAUUAAAAAUAAUAUUUUUUUUCAUUUUUAUUUAUUAUAUUUCAUUUUCUUCUUUAGCUUAUUGACUAACAAAAACUCUAUAAAAUAUCCAUGCACUAGCUCAUAUGAUUAAUUUUAAAAAAAUGAGUGAAAAAAGAGUAGAAAAAAUGGAAAAUACUAUAGUAUGUGAGAGUAAGAUAAAAAAUAGUGAUGAUGAUGAAGAAAAUGAUUUGUUGCUUCCUGGUUUUCGAUUUCAUCCAACAGAUGAAGAGCUUGUAGGGUUUUAUCUUAAACGCAAAGUGGAAAAUAAAAGAAUCAAACUUGAUCUUAUCAAAGAGGUUGAUAUUUAUAAACAUGAUCCUUGGGAUCUUCCAAGUGAGUAUAUAUGCAAUUCACUAAUUUUUUAUGUUCAAUUUUAUUAUGAGUUUGUGCUCAAAGGUGGAUCGACUUAUUUGGUUUUAAUGGUUCAUGUGAAUUUAGAAUUUUUAUUCAUGUCAUAUAAUAAGUAUAUAAUAGGUAGUUUUGUGUUCUAUUUCUCACAAUUUUAUGUCAAAAGAUGGAUCUACUUGGUAAUUUAUGAUUUAUGUGGAUUCAUAGAUUUUGUUCCGAUCACAUAUACACAAAUUGUUAAUUUUUUGUUAUCUUCUUACACAAGUCUAUAUUCAAAUAUAUUGGUUAAUCUACUUAGUAAUCUAUAACUCACGUGAAUUCAUUGUUUUUGCUCAGAUUUUAUAUACAAGUUAUUUUAUAUUAUCUUUUUUCAAAAUUUAUGUUCAAACACUAACAAAAACAACUUUUAACGGCAUCAUAUAUUGACACUCAUAAAGAGUGCUAAAUUCUUUACCUGCAUUAGUUAAGUGUCAUUAGAACCAAUGUCGCUAAAUGCUUCAGAGACAUAUCCAAAGAGUGAAAUAUACUGGUCAAUCUACUUAACAUAAAUAAAACUCUCAUUUUUGCUAUUAUACAAGUUAUUUUAUGUCAUCUUUUUGCAUAGUCUAUGUUCAAAUUGGCCAAAUCAUUUAGUAAUCUACGGUUCAUAUAAAUUCAAUAGUUUUUAUUCGGAUCUUAUAUAUACAAGUUUGGUCAUGUUGCUAGUUUGCACAAAUCUAUAUUCAAAUAUAUUGACCAUUCAAUCGUUCACGUGAAUUCAAAAAAAUUUAUUGAAGAUUUUAUACUUUUUAUGUUACCUUUUUUCUUGAUUGUGUGUGUGUGGUUUUUUUUUUUUUUUUUGCUUGGUUUCAUUAAAAGAGAUUAAUAAAAUACUUGAGCAAAUUUGUUUUAUGUCCAUAACCAGCAUCAAAAUGAUUAGAAUUGUAGGUCAAGAAGACUAAGAAAUUGUGCUAGCUUAUCCGUUUCCACUACUAGUAAUACAUAAGUUAGUGAUAGAUAAAUAUUAUAAUUAAUUUAUAAAAUAUAUUGCUAUUUUUAUUUAGCUAUAAAUUUUCAAAAACAAAAUUAUUAAUUAUGCACAUAUCUAGUGAUAAGCCAAAUUCUUUGGACAAAACAUUCCUCUACUAUAUUCUUCAAUUAUGAAAUUAUAUGACAUGAUUGAAAGAUAAGCUUCUAUCGAUGAACGUGUCUUAUCACUAGUUGAAGCAAGUAAUAUAAAGUUUAAAAUUAAAAUCGCGAUAAGAAAAAUAAAAUCCUCUAAAUGGUCAUUUUCCUUGUAUUGCUGAAAAUAUUUUCAUAUCUUUUAGUAUAAUCAGAUUUCACAAUUAAAAUGACUAUUUCACGACAAAUUAAACAUUUUUUUUCUUGAAAUGCCCUAGGUAACAAAAAUUUCUCGAAUAACAUAAAACUAUUUAAAAUUAAUUAUUUCUAUAUUUAGUCUCUAUGUAUUCUUCUAAUUAUUAUGUGAAUGUGUUUUGACUAGAUCUAAAUUUUUAAAAAGAAUUAUUUAUUUUCAGAACUUGCGGCUUUAAUGAGUAGAUAAUGAUUUGAAAUUACAAAAUAAUCUCAUUAAUUAGAAUAGGAUAAGAAGUGUAAAAUUAUAUAAUUUUAAUAUAAUAACACAUUAUUCUUUUCAAAAAAAGUAAUAUAUAUAUAUAUAUAUAUAUAUAUAUAUUUGUUUGACCUUUUCAUGCAACAAUUAUUGACCCCAAAGUUGUAGGAACGAUAAGAACAAUUCAUAUAAAAAAGACAAUAAAUUAGAAAGUGACUUUGUCACUGUCGUUGACCAAGUUUACAUUAUUAGCUAAUUCAAACAAGACAGCACGAAUUUUUUUUGACUAUAUAAUAUAUAGUAUCCAUAUUAUAAUAAUAAUAAUAAUAAAUAAUAAUAAUAAUAAUAAUCUUACUCUUAUAUAUCAUUAAAAUAUUUAGCUUGAGAGUAUUAGAAGCAACAACGACAGUAUCUUUGUCCACAUGAAUACGUGGUAGAUAAAGAAAUGCAUGUUCGAUCUAAAGUUGUAAUUAUAUUACUUGUUUAUUUUUUAUUUUAUAACAAAUAUUUAUUGAUUAAUUCUUUGUCUUUUAAAUAUAUUUUUAUUUAUAUGUUUUGUCAAUCAAUAUCAAAAUUAACAACCGGUGAAUUUUUUAAAAUUAUUCUUAAGGAUAAAGUGGAAAAAAUAAUCAAUUUUAUCUUGAUUUAGGAAAUGGCAAGUAAUAUAAAAAUAUAUUUUAUAAGUAGUGUGAGACACAUAAAAUAUUUAACAUAUGACUUUUGUUAUUUUAAAUAUGUUAUGUCAUUCAUGUAACAGAAUAUGAAAGUGAUGAAAUUUAUACUUACUGAACAUAAAAAGAUGAAAUUUUAUUUUAAAUAAACUACGGAGAAAAAGUAAUAUUUUUUGAAAUAGACUAAGAAAGAUAAAGACAUAAAAUUUGAAUCAGAGUAAGAAGUUUAUAACAAUUUUAUACUAGCUAAUUUUAUAAUAACUCCAUAUAACUAUCAAUAAUAAUUAAUCGAAUUAAUAUCUUGGAUAAGAAAGAAGAUAAUGUGUGAUUCGAACUAAGUGAAGUGCAUUAAAGAUUGAGGAAGGAAAAGUAUUGGUGGAAGAAACACACACAAGACAAAGAUAACACUAAAUGAUUGGAGAAGAUAAUAGAUGAGGAUGAACGUGUGUCAAUACAAGCAUUAGUUAAGUGUCAUUAGUUUCAAUGUCGCUAAAAGUUUCAGGAACACAUUUAUACAUAAAAUGUUAAUUAUUGCUAAAAAUAUAUAUUUAACGAUAAUUAAGAAUUAAUUACUACUAAUGAUCAUAUACUUAAUGUAGUGUAUUUUUGUAGUCAUUAUGAGGGUUAUAUAUGAAGUUGUACAUGAGAUAAGUAUAUGUUUGUAAGCUAAUUGUUUUUGUUUUUUUUUCAUUUGUAUGAAGAAGUGAUGGGCAGAGUAGGUGAUAAUAAGGAAUGGUAUUUCUUCAGCAUGAGAGGAAGAAAGUACAAAAACAGUGUAAGACCAAAUAGAGUAACAGGAUCUGGUUUUUGGAAAGCAACAGGAAUUGAUAAGCCUGUUCAUUCACAAAGCAAUGAGCUGUGCAUUGGCCUCAAAAAAUCAUUAGUAUAUUAUAGGGGAAGUGCUGGAAAAGGUACUAAAACUGAUUGGAUGAUGCAUGAGUUUCGUCUACCGCCUAUUUGGAAGACGAAUACUUCAAAUGGACAACACCUCCCGAAUCUCAAGAACAUUGCUGCUGAAGCUGUAAGUUUCUCGAUAUGGACUACUCUUCUAGUUUCUUGUUCUUUGAUUUUCUAUUGUUUCGUGUAGUUUGUUUGUAAGAAUCUGUUCAUCUUUCGAGUUGGUGGUCUACUAGAAACAGUCUUUUUGCAUCACAUAUGAGAUAGAGGUAAGGUCUGUGUAUACACUAUCCUCCUCAGACAUCAGUAUGUGAGACUACUUACAUUGAUUAUUAGCUAGUUGAUCUCUAUCAUGUUACCCUUUAUAUAGGUAUGAACGAACUUGAAAUUUUCGUUACCUUAGAGUUCAAUAGUCCCCGAGAAUCCUGGCAUACAAUAUACAACAACAACAUAUGCAAUGUAAUACCAUACACAGAUCUUAUCCUUACCUUUGUGGAAUGGGUAGAGAGGUUGUUUCUGAAAGACCUUUAACAACGUGACUCAAACCCUCAACCUAUUGGUCGACGGUGGAGGUGCUCAAUCGCUUCAAACAUAGCCACAUUCAUGACUUAUUAUGUUUAGAGGCAGAUUGAUAUUGGAUCACCCUCACUCUUGUAUAUCGAAUAUUCAUAAAUUGCAGGAAGUUUGGACUCUCUGCAGAAUAUUCAAAAGGAUUUCCAAUUACAAAAGAUUCACACCAGAUUGGAAGCAGCAGCAGCCAGUUGUUAAACAAAGUUUCGUUGACACAAGUUCUAAGGCAUGCAGUGUUCAAUCCGAAAUCAGUGAUGAUCAAUCCAAUAAUGUCAUCAAUUUCAAAAAGAUGGCAUUUCCACAAAAGAGCAUUAUGAAUGCAUCAUGUGGAGGAAAUUUAAACUAUCAAGUUGAUCAAAGAAACAGUUACUACAAUAAUAGCCAACUAAUUACGACCAUGCCUGAUCAAUCGCCAUUCACAUCAUCAAAUUCAAUCUUUUGGAACACACGUGCUGAAGAUCAGGAGUAUUUGUUUAGUCAUGGAAACUGGGAUGAGCUCAAAUCUGUCGUUGAUUUAGCCAUUGAUCCUCGUAGUCUCUUUGGAUUUAAAUAAGCUGGCCUGGAAGCAAAAAAGACUUGUGACUUGUCUUUAUAGGAGCACUCUUGGUAUACAUAUACGUGUUGAAUCAGUGACGAAUCCAAAAUUUAAAGUCAGCAGGUUCUGUUCUUAAUCCGUUAAUCGUAUCUGUGUUAUUCCUCCCCACACAUAUUCAUAAUCAGAGCUAGACGCGUGCAGCAGAUUCUGAAUCAGUUGUUGGGAUUGAAGUUAACACAGUGUGAUAUGCUUUCUACAUUUUUUGUUUAUUAGGACUUGCAUACAUCUUGUAAAUUACUAAUUUCCUAGAGUACUUUCUUGUACUGAAUUUCAUAGAAUACUUUUUUGUUCAGAGUACAUUACAGUAAGAGAUGGUUUUAUGAGGGAACAAAUAUUAGGUUCAUCACUAUCUUUCGCGUAUAUAUAUAUAUAUAUACAUACGAAUAGACGUUAUGAUAACUUGGUUAUGAAGAUAGCAAGACAAUAUUCUAACUUGAUUUGCAGCUUCUUGAGCGUGAGAACUCAUGGUUCUCAACUCACUUCAUAGACUAUUGCUAUUAUGCAUUGUGUGUGUCUGAUAUUAGUCUUCUUGAAGAACAGAACAACAAGUCCAGUACCAUUUAAUUAAGAUAUGUCUGUUAGUAUAAAGGCUUUAGCUUUUGAAUGACAGAAACAUCAAUGUCCCAAAAGUACAACGAAGGAUAUCUGCAUACUAUUUCGGAGGCAUAUUUAUCCUCUUUCCCUUAAAAUUAUGUCACACCCUUGAGUGCACAACCCCUCAAUAAUGCCAACAAUCAGUUGGUAUUUUGGCUUGAACAAGUUCUCCUUUAAACUCUGUUACUCCUUUUUUAUUUACCUUAUUUAUUCUUCUACUCUAAUAGCCUGAAGUUGGAACCAUAACAAUAUGUAACAGCUGAUUUGGAGUGAUGUUAUCGUAAUAUUUGCUUCUAUUUGUCUUUAUUUAUUAUUUAUAUUUUAUAAUUAUAUUUCAUCUUUUACCCUAAUUUUUUAUAGUAGCUCUAUCAUGCAUCUUACUUUUCUGAUUUCCUUGUUCAAAUUAUGAAUGUGUGACAUUAUGUAACGACGGAAAAUAAUAUCUAUCCAAAUAUUGUAUUCAUUAAAACAAUAAAAAUUAGGAAAAUUUUUCAAAAUGUCAAUAUUUUAGCAUUUUAGAGUACUCAUUAGCAACACUUUCAAUAUUUAGUAAAAAUGUCAUAUUUUAGUUUGUUAUGUAUCUUAUUUAUGUUUUUAUUAUUUGUUUUUAUUUAAAGAAUAUAAUUAUUUAAUAACAAAAGGAAGAAAAUUAAGGGAGAGAAUAUUUCAAAAAAAGGUAAGCAACCUUAAUUUUCUCAUCAGUUAAUUUUCAAAUAAAAAUUUAAAUUUGUUUUUUUUCUCUCCGGAAUUUUUACCUUUUUAAAAUUAUAUUAAUUCCACAAUAUAUUCUAUUUAUAUUUAUUAUAGUUUUUUAUUAAUUUAUAUUCAUUCCAAUAGGUAUGCCAAAUUUUUCUAUAUAGUCAUUUAAGAAAUAUAUUUGUAUUUUCAUAUAUUUUUUUCCCUAUAUAGUUAUUUUUUUCUUCAAAAAUCUUGUAUGUAUUCAUUUCAAUAUGUAUUUUAUUUGUAUUUCUAUUUAUUCUAGUUUUUAUAUAGAAUUUUGUAUAAUAACAUAUAAAAUACAAAAAUUAGUAUAAUGAAAAAGUGAAUAAAAUAAAAGAAAUAAUUGAAUAUUUAGUGUACUCAUUCUUAAAUAAAAUACAUAACUAGUUGCCAUACCUUUAGAAUAAAUACAAAUUAAAUUAGAAAAAAAUGUCAAAUUCAGAAACAAUGCAACAUAAUUUUUGAAUUACUACAACUAUUAAUUGUAAAAAUACAUACUGACUAAAACAUGAUCAAAAUUCAAUAUAUACUUCCAAAUAUUUAUGAAUACAAAAAACAAUAAAACUAUGAAAUACAAAAAUAAAUACUAACUGUGGUACAUUGACAUAACUAUCACAAAAAAAAAAACAGAAUACAAAAUGAAUUAAAUAAAUGAAAUACGAUUCCAAAUCUAUGGAUACAAAAUACAAUAAAACAAUGAAAUACAAAAAUACAUAAUGACUAAAACAACAACAAAAUUCAAUAUACACUACCAAAUCUAUGAAUACAAAAAACAUCAAAACUAUGAAAUAUACACAAUCAAACUCAUAUAAUGUGUUACAUUGACAUAACUAACACACACACAAAAAAACAGAACACAAAAUACAAAAAAUAUAUGAAAUACACAAAUAAAUACUAACUAUAACAUAAUAAAAAUUUCAUAUACACUUUCAAACGCAUUGUAACAUGAAUUUUUUUUAAUCUUAAAAAUUACUAAACAAAUUAAACUAAACAUGCAAGACACAGAACAUGCAAAAAAAAAACACUUCUCCAACAAAUUGGUCUUCUUCAACUUCAUUAUUAUUAAUUUGUGUGUGAUUUUGCACAUUGACGGAUUCAGACAUUUUUCCCCAUCGUAUAUCUUUCUUAGAUUUAGAAGCGGCACCUACAUUGUUGUUUAAUUCUUGAGUGAAAAAAAAUUAAAUGAUGGAAAAUCGGAAGAACUUUGAUUAUUUUGUGUCAUACCUUUAGUAAGUCUCUUGAAAACGUCCAUUGAAGAGAGAAUUAUGUAGUCUCAAACCCUAAAAAAUGUUUUAAGAACAACUAUAAAAUUAAAAAAAUUAAAAAAACACUGAAAUCAGUAAGUAAAUAAAUAAGGAAUCUGAAAACAUAAUACUCAAAUCAAUAUUAAUCUUCAAAUCAAAUCUUGCAACGAAAUUAAAUAAGAAUAAUAGAAAACAUUAAUAUAUUGAAUCGAAAAUAUAUGGAAUUUAUUUGGAAGAAUGUUAGAGAAAUUAAAAAGAAGAAUAAGAAAAGAGAGAAAAAUCAGGAGAUUUGAUUAGGAAGAAAGUAAGAGAGAAAUUGAUAAGCUUAAGAAAAGAGAGAGAAAAAUUAAAAUAAUAUUAAUAUCUAUCAAAUUACAUAAAUAUAAGAAAAUGUGUAAUCUAUGUGAGAGAAAAAAAGGGUGUAAAUAAUGAGAGAGAAAAUAUUAAUAAUAUCAGAAUAAUUAUUUAUUUUUAAAAUAAUGACAUUUUUGACAUGUUUACUAAUAUUAUUAAAUUAUGAAUAUUAUCACUAAAUAAGUUAAUUUUUUUGACUAGUUAGCUAAAUUUCCCUAAAAAUUAUGAUAUAUUAUGAAAUAAUACGUAACAACAAUCCAAACAAAGUACAUGGUCUAUUUUGUUUCUAACCCAUAGAUUACAAUGGGAUGGAACCAUUUUAGUGAGUAAAAAGAAGAUACUCAUCUUGUUUUCUUCUCACACCAAAAAGAGACAGAAGAAGAAUAUAAACACUUGAUGGAAUCACACUAUCAUAAAAAUGACCAUUAGCAGCAUUUAAUUCAUAAUUGCCGCUAAAUAUAUAUUUUUAGCGGCAAUUGUCACUAAUUGUCUAUGUUCCUUGUUGACACCCAAUUUUUGACCCACGUUGGUAUAAAUUAAUUAUCGAGCUUCGUGAGUUUUUCAAAUUAUUUGAGUUAAUUAGUUUGGUAAAUCUUGCGAAAACGAAAGAAAAUAUAUAUAUAUAUAUAUAUAUAUAUAUACGUAUAUAUAUAUAUAUGUAUAUGUAUAUAUGUAUAUCUUUAGUUUAGAAAGUAUUCCAUUAAACUAGUUUGCUUUAAAUCACAACUAUAUUUUGAAUCAUUAUUUUAUAAUUCAAAUAGUUAUGUUACUAAAUAAAUAGGCUCGUUAAUGAAUUUAUACCAAAUUCGUUUUAAAUCAAUUGGCCAUUAUUUAAAUUUAACUCUUUCCUUUAAUCCUUUUGAAGAACUGAAUUCAGGUUCAAUCUCCUUCAAUUUCAAUCCAACAAAAUUCAAACCCAGCGGCCCAUUUCUUAAUUCUCAGGCCCAUCCCGAACCCCCUAAAAUGUUUUCAAAACAAAUUUUUCUGUUUAAGUUGUUUUGGAAAUAAGUUUUCUUGAUUUUUCCUAAAAAAUUAAGUGGCGACUCCCAAAAGUCGAAAAUAUCCUUUAAUAAAACAAACUCUUUUUCGAAAUCGAAAUUUUUUUCGAUAAAACAGAAAUGGCGACUCCGCUGGGGACGGAGAAUUCUAACCCUAAGAUUAACUUUGUUUGACUAACUUGUAAUUAAUUGUUUAAUUGCUUAGAUUACUUAGUUUUUAGAAUUGCAUUUUUUCUCAUGGCAUAAAUUUCGCCAAACGGCAACUAGUUGCAUUAGGAAACGCAAGUUACGCGGCUUACCACGACUUCUCUCAGAAAAACCCCAAGAACUUAUUUGGGAGUAUCAAAUAAAUAGUCGGAAUGCGGUCAUCCGACGUUAUUCGAUAUCUCCACCCCGAUGUUUGUCCGACUCGGGUAACCGUCUAUUUGAAAACAAUUCUAGAAAAGCCUAAGUUAGAGCGAAACCAAAACCAAAAUUAGGCAUCAGCCUAGGACGACUUAAUACCCAAGGCGUAUUAAGUCCAUUUUAGUAGAAAACCGCCAAAAAUCGCGUCUAAGGUCUUCGACCUCACGACGCAUCAUGUUAUCUGACAUUCGAAAAUGUAUGUGUGAAAAAACUAACUUGGGGGUAGGGGAAAGUCUAACGGGUUUCUGUUUUGCAGAUGUGGACCGUUUUCCAAAAUUUGACAUGGUCAUCUCCGCGCCACCCCAACUUGCUAUGUGGCACAACGACUUAGACGGAGAUCAUAAGCGAACUCUCAACAAAUAUAUAGGGGCCUUGACCGAGCUAAUCAACAUGGACGGUUGGCCAGAGUUGAUCGAGGUUCUUACCGGGUACUGGGAUAGCCAAAGAAUGGUCUUCCAUUUCGGAACGGCCGAAAUCACCCCUACAUUAGAAGAAUUAAGAGAUAGCAAGAGGACGUGUUUAUCCCCAACAAACCUUCCGUUGAGAACAUCUCGGAUUGGUUAGGGCUAAGAAGGGAUUACACCUAUUGGUGUCAAGACUCUCACGUAAUGUUCAGGGAUUUGUAUGUCAGAUUUGGACACGCGAGUUUCUAUGCCGCGUAUAAUCGGGAAUUUAGAAUUUCCUACAGAGAGUGGAAUGAGCUCCGCCCGUUGGCGUUUGCCAUAGCCUUGUUGGGAACAAUGGUCUUCCCGCACGGCCCGAGCAUGAGCAUCAACACCAGAGUCAUAACACUCGUCCGGACGCUGUUCAAAGGGUACAAGAAUCAAGGAACGACGAAGUACUACUCCGUAGCUCCGGUCAUAUUAUCGGACAUAUAUCGCGCUUUGGGUAAGUGCAAAGAGGGACAUCGGUACUUCCAGGGGUGUAACCUGCUCCUCCAAUGGUGGAUUCUCAGCCACCUGGCGAAGGGUGCUGGAACUCGAGAAUUGCACACUCUCGACAACAAGAACACUCUCAAAGAGCUGAACGACUUGCUAUUCUGGGCCAACCUGAAUAAUCGGAGAACGAGAGGGAAGUGGGCCCAAAUUUUCUCCGAGUUGAGAGAAGAGGACCUCCAAUGGAUGCUCGACCGCUUCAUAUCCAAGGAAGUUGUCGUGGAGGGUCGUAGAUGUGUCGUGCUCCCUCUACCCGGCAUUCGAGGAAUUCGCCCUUACGCUCCAUUCCGAGUCUUGCGACAGUUCAGAAGGAGGCAGACUGUUCCUAGAGAAGCGUAUUAUGGCGCUUAUGUAUACGAUAUUGGGGACGACAGGGUGGACGACGCUACAGAGAUGCUCAGAGAAUGGAAGAAUGCCAAGCGCAUGGGCAAAGACAGUAUCGCCCCUGACCGAUUCAACGCUGGAUGUGACGAAGGCUACAAAGCAUGGUUGAAGAAGGAUAUACAAAACAUCUCCUUUCAAAUUCCGCGUAGCUUUCGCAGUGUGACAGACAAAGAGGCCAAAGCAGAGGCCGAAUUGCGAGAAUUAAAGGAAGAAGCUAAUGAGGUCUACGCCAAAUUCGUAGAGAACCAAGACGCACUCGAGAGGGCAACUCGAGAGAUCGAGAGACUGAAGCAAGGGUAUGACGAGUUCGACAGCUGGAUCCAGCAGAAAAUUGAGAGAAUGCGAUACGAGAGCUUGGAAGACAAAGGGCGUCUGGGUGAAGGCUUUCUGUUGAUGCUGAGGUACAUGUUCCAACAGCACAAAAACCAGAAAGACGACGACAGAGCGGGAUCGUCCGGAGCAGCAUAGUGGAUAUCGCCCCUGCGCGGGUUUUUCUUUGUCUGUAUUUGCAUUGUUUUAGCCCCUGCGUGGGCCUGAUAUUAUCACACUUUCUAAAUAGCCCCUGUGUGGGUUUGUUUAUUUCCCUUUUAAAACAUUUCCCUCAUUGUUAAACAUUAUUUUUUGGGGGAAUCACUUGACUGGUUUAAACUCACACGUACAUCAUUCGAAUGCGUUAGGCCUACCCUUGGCACAAAAGGGUCCCCAUGCAUGAUUAGGACACGAUAUAUGUGUAUUUAAAUGCUUAUGUGUUACGUUGAUUUGAAUGAGGAUAUCGUAAACCCACUCCUAGCAAAAAAAAAAGGUACACAGAAGUCACUAUUACAAACGUCCGACCAAAAUUCCCGAGUCUCAAGUUUCUCACGCAAGAUCCACCUCCCACCACAAAUCUUGAAUACCGCUCUAUCGUCUCAGGUAAGUUGAAUCACCGCUAUGGACAAAGGCGAGAACGUCCAGACGGAGCUCACUAAGGAGGAAUUGCGAAAAAAGAUCGAGCGGGUCACUCGAGAGAUUCAGAAGGUUAAAGAGGAAGGACUCAAGGUAGAAAUAACCACGGCAAUCUACAAAGCUGCGGUCACGACUUUGGAUGAAGAUCUGGCGUCGCAGAUGAGAAGAAAGAAGGAGGCUGAGAUGGAAACCGAAAGCCUAAAGAAAAGGUUGAACCUGCUUCGUUUGAAGAUACACGAAGGAAAGGCGAGAGAAGCGAAGAUAGAUAUUGAGACUGCUGUAUUGUCGGCCAGAAGUGCGGCACUCGACGAAGAAUUAGCGACCCAUAGCAACUUAAAGGGCGGAAAACACCUCGCCCGUGAACAGGGAGCAAGUAACGGUGGCCCCGGCCGUGAAGUGAUUGAGGAGGAUGAUGAAGAAGAAAUCGUCUACAAGCCUCCAUUUCCGAUUGUCUGAAAGGAAGGAAUGACGCAGCCACAAGACAAGAAAUCGCCAAAUAUUGUCUUCUAGAAAUUUCAAUAUUGUUUUUCAAUUCCCUUGUAAUCGCAAUGAAAAAAUGAAUGAAAAUUUUUCAUCCUUGUAUCCGAACUACGUUGGGCCUGAAUUCUCCUCGUGAGAUACGUAGGCAGCCUUCCCGGCCCAGCCCCUAUCACCAAAAAUUUUCAUUCUCCUCCGUGUUUCGGAGGUACGAAGAUAAGAUCAACGGACGAUGAAAAGCAGCUGCAAGAAAACCAUAGCCCAACGUGAUUCAGCUUCCCCGAGAUGACGUCAAAACAAACAAGAUCCUGUUUGUUCAAAAUAUAUUUCCGUCCUCAUUCGUGGGUUAAGAUAUCCUCAAACAAAGCGACUUGUGUCUUUAUCUGUUUUAUGUGCGAUAUUAUGCAUUUUGUACUCCGGAUAUGCACUAACAAAUUUGCCAUUGAGUUGUUUUUACCUCUCAGGUACCUCUUACUGAUCUGUGUCGAUAAAGCUGGCAGAUCACCACUACUUCACCAGAUCAAAAGGUCGCGCAGAUUCCUUCCCCGAACCAAACACAAAUACAGACAUGGGCGACAACAGUGAACAAAUCAGCCUCACAGAUGUCGUGGUGGCUCAGCCCACCGUGGCAGAGCAGAAUGAGCUUAUUGCGCAGCUGAUGUAGCAAAUAGCUGACAUGAGGGUAGAGAUGCAACGGAGGCAAGACACUCCUCCGCCCGGGUUUGGCCCCGACUUUCUUGACGCAAGACCUCCUACAUACUUCCCCUCAUCCAACUCAGAUCCUACUCAGCACCGUCCAUCGACACCCGUGCAUAACCCGUCCGGGAUAGAUAUGACCACCCAAAACCCCCAAUACGCCUCAGUCUCCUAUCAAACUCCCUCCCCACUUCCAAACAAUCCUCCGCAAAUGCCACCACACCCCCAAAAUACUCAAACAGCCCCACUACCCCAAAAUCAAACCCAAAAUCCCACCGCCCUCAAUUCCCAAACACCGCAUCCCCAUUUAAACCAAAACACUAAUCCCCAAAAUUAUCCGCAAAACUAUCAAACCGCACAGAAUGUCCCAAGCCCUUCCCUAGCUCCACCCCUUCCCAAAAGAACCACUUUUCAAGUCCCUGUAUUGACCGAGCAUGAGGUACACGGCUCCGAGCUGGACCAUUAUGAGGAGCAAGAAAGAGAGUGGAGGGCAAGGGAAGAAGCGAAGGUAGACAUAAAGGAGGAGAUCAAGAGGGCAAUGAGAGAGUUGCAAUGUACUCCAGACGUCGCUGGGUUAAGCUACGCAGAACUAUGCAUCCACCCAGACUUGAACCUACCUGAAGGGUUCAAGAUCCCGAAGUUUGAUACCUUCGGAGGGGUGGGAAACCCCAUGGCACACCUAAGAGCAUAUUGUGACCAACUCGUGGGAGUUGGCAAAGAUGAAGCGUUGCUGAUGAGAUUGUUCAGCCGGAGCCUGUGCGGUGAGGCCCUGGAAUGGUUCACGUUGCAUGAGACUUGACAGUGGCCCAGUUGGAGUGCGCUGGCUAAGGAUUUCGUCGACAGAUUCGCAUACAACGUUGAGAUAGUUCCUUAUCGGUACUCCUUGGAGAAGAUAAAGCAGAAGUCCACAGAAAGUUAUCGAGAGUUCGCGUACAGAUGGAGGAAGGAGGCAGCGAGGGUGAGGCCUCCGAUGACGGAGAAAGAGAUUGUAGAGGUGUUCAUACGGGUGCAGGAGCCCGAGUAUUAUAACAGAGUCAUCUUAUUAAUCGGCGCCAAGUUCGCCGAGAUAGUCAAAGUAGGUGAGACUAUUGAAGAUGGCCUGAAGUCGGGAAAAAUAGCCCGAGUGUCUGCAUCGCUUGGGUCUUCCGGAAUGUUAAGGAAGAAAAGAGAGGAGGUUAACGCUAUCUCACACGGGGGAAGAAAGGCACCCAGAAACUUACCACGUCCCCAAGGCCGCUCCAAUCCUCCAUCAAAGCCUCAUCAAGCCUACCGUCCACAAUCAAAUCAUUUCGGCCACUACAAUGCAGCCCCCACUUGUCCAGAUGCCCAUAUCUUAUUAUAUCAGAAUCCGCCCCAAAUUCCCCAAAAUUUUCCCUCCAUAUAUCCAAACUACCCCCAAGCUUAUCAAGUCCCUCCCCAUUACCAGAAUGUCGCUCCCAGCUGCGCUAAUGUACAGCCGAGCUAUCGAGCACCAUCCCCCGCAUAUCAAAUACAAACCCCAGCAUAUCAAAACCCCUAUCCGAAUUACCGAGCCCCAAUGCCAAACUACCAAACAAAUCCCCAUCCCAGAGCCCAAGCUCCACGACCAAAUGCCCGCAGUUAUCAACAAGUCCCUCCCCCACAGCACGGAGGGUAUGAUCCCCCUCGCCCCAGGUCUGAGAAGAAGCCUUCCAGAAGCUUCACCGUGUUGGCUGAAAGCAGAACUAAAUUGUUCGAAAGAUUAUCCGCGGCCGGAUACAUCCACACUGUGGGCCCCAAGCCCGUGGAUGUCAAUUCCAGAUUCUACAGACCGGAGUAGAGAUGUGCUUAUCAUUCCAACAGUGUUGGACAUGAUACAGAAGACUGUAUCAAUCUCAAGCACAAGAUCCAGGACUUGAUUGACCAGGAAGUGGUCUCCCUUCAGCCUGCGGCGCCAAAUGUCAACACGAAUCUGUUGCCAAAUCAUGGGGGUGGAAACGCCAACAUGAUAGAAAUUGACGAAGACGAGCGUGAAGCCAAGAGAAUUACUCCUGUUGUUCAGGAAGACUUGGAAAAGGCUGUCGCUUCUUUGAGCGUCAGGGAAAAGGGAGAGUUUGUCAUUCUGACACCUGCAAAGGUUGUUGCCUUGGUGCCCGCAAAGACUCUCGCCAAGCCCAAGUUUGUUAUUGAAACGGUCGUGGCUCAAGGCAUGACCAGAUCUGGUAGAUGUUAUACUCCUGACGAGCUUGCUCUCGGAGGACAAAAGAAAGAUCAUGCCAAGAGACCGAUCAGCGAAGCAGAAGCUGAGGAGUUCUGGAGGAGAAUGCAGCCCAAAGACUACUCCAUUGUCAAGCACUUGGAGAAGACUCCAGCCCAGAUUUCUGUGUGGGCCCUAUUGAUGAGCUCCUGGUCACACAGACAGGCUUUGAUGAAAGCCUUGGAUGACACGUAUGUGCCCUCAGGUACGAGCAGCGACAAUGUAGCUACUAUGAUUCACUGAGUCGUUCAGGGACAUCGCAUCAGCUUCGGCGAUGAUGAACUGCCGGCCGAAGGAAGGGCCCACAACAAAGCUCUACACAUCACCGUGAUAUGUCGCGAAAAGAUCGUCAACCGUGUUUUGAUAGACGACGGAUCUGGCCUGAACAUAUGUCCCUUGUCCACACUGAAGCGGCUGAGGUUUGACCUCCUAAAGUUGGAACAAAAUCAGGUCAAUGUGAGAGCAUUCGACGGUGUGCAGAGAGACACGUUGGGAGCUGUAAACCUGACCAUCCAAAUGGGCCCCGCAGAGUUCGAGGCAAAAUUCCAGGUGUUGGAUAUCGACACCAGCUAUAACCUCCUUUUGGGAAGGCCAUUCAUUCAUAUGGUUGGAGCCGUCCCCUCCACUCUCCACCAUGUGGUGAAACUAGUAUGGAACAAUGAAGAACUAGUUAUUCACGGGGAAAGGAGCCACUCAGGUAAACAGGUGCCGAUCUUGGAUGAAACGCCGCAAAGUUCAGAUUUCUACACGGUGGAGUUGGUAAAUGCCACUGAUGAAAGCUUGGCCCCACAGACUCCCAUGCCGGCCGUGUACAGAAUGAUCGCCACGGUGAUGCUGCAAAGCGGAUUUGAACCAGGUUUCGAAUUGGGAAGGAAUGCACAAGGGAUCAUCGAGCCGGUUUCGGUCCUUGCUACAGGAUCAAAGUAUGGUUUGGGGUACAUCCCCACAGAUGAUGAUGUGAUGAUGAAGAGGAAAAAGGAUCAAGGGUUGACUAAGCCGAUCCCGCAUCUCUAUCAAUCCUUUCCAGUCCGGAAACAUGCUGAGCCUGAAGACGACGGGGAAGGAAUCUGUGACCUUUUCAGGGAGAUUAACACCGUUAUCGAGGAGGAGCAACUCAGCUAGCAUUCGUGAUGCGGAACCAAAGGAGAUGCUGCGGAAUUGGACUUCUACGCCAAUCCUGAUGUCCCGGACUCUUGGGUAGAAAGGAAUUAUUUCAUGCAUAGUAAAAUCGGUGGUUGUCCGGAUGAGGCCCGAGACCCAUCAUUUCUGCAUUGUUCUUGAUUUUGAAUUUUGUUGUGAUGUUUGAAAAAAGUGACAUGGCCCUGUGCCAUGACCCAAGUUCGCAUUUUGUUUGAUUUAAAUGAAAGCCUCCUUAUUUCGACUUUGUUUAUUAAAUUGCUUGUUAUAUGUUACUUUUCUAAUUUUGUCUAUUUAUGAUUUCAGUAACGUAAGUUACAAACCUGCCAAUGUCAUGUCAUGUCAUGAGCUAAACGAGCAAAAUGAGGCAAAUGACGAUGAGGUUGACGACUACGAAGAAAGUGGGGAACCAGACCAUGUUGCAGAAGAAUUUCGAUAGUUAGAGAAUAUACAUAAACCAAAUCUGGAGGAGACCGAAAUGGUGAAUUUGGGAGAUUCAGAAUGUGUCAAAGAGGUUAAGAUCAGCACCCACCUGAAUGAGACUCAGAAGGAGAGCCUGGUUCGUUAGCUUUCCGAAUAUAGGGAUGUGUUCGUUUGGGAUGUCGUUGACAUGCAAGGGUUGAGUACUGAUGUCGUAUCUCAUAAGCUGCCUAUCAACCCAGGGUUCGAACCGGUGAAACAAAAGACUCGGAAAUUCAAGCCUGAAUUGAGUUUGAAGAUUAAGGAAGAAAUCACCAAGCAGAUAGAGUCUCGACUGGCAGAAGUAACGCAAUACCCAACCUGGUUGGCCAAUGUCGUUCUGAUCGCCAAGAAAGAUGGAAAAAUCAGGAUUUGUGUCGAUUACAGAGAUCUCAACAAGGCUAGUCCAAAGGAUAAUUUCCAUUCAUAUUUUGAUUGACAACUGUGCCAAACAUGAGAUGCAGUCAUUUGUGGAUUGUUACGCGGGUUAUCACCAGAUUUUGAUGGACGAAGAAGACGCAGAAAAAACGGCCUUCAUUACCCCUUGGGGGGUAUAUCACUAUAGGGGGAUGCCGUUCGGCCUCAAAAACGCCAGUGCUACUUACAUGAGAGCCAUGAUGACUAUCUUUCAUGACAUGAUUCACAAGGAGAUUGAAGUGUACGUGGACGACGUCAUAAUCAAAUCCCGCGAGAGUUCGGAUCAUUUGACACACCUGAAAAAAUUCUUUGAACGUUUGCGUCGGUACAACUUGAAACUAAAUCCUGCCAAAUGUGCUUUUGGAGUCCCAGCUGGGAAGUUGUUGGGGUUUAUAGUCAGCAGAAGAGGUAUUGAGCUCGACCCUUCCAAGAUUAAGGCAAUUCAAGAGUUACCUCCGCCGAAGACGAGAAAAGAAGUGAUGAGUUUCUUAGGGAGGUUAAACUAUAUCAGUCGGUUUAUAGCACAAUCAACAGUGGUAUGUGAGCCCAUUUUCAAGUUGCUGAAGAAAGACGCCCCAACUAAGUGGAUUGAGGAGUGCCAGACCGCUUUCGACGCUAUCAAGAGCUACUUGUCUAACCCACCAGUACUAGUUCCUCCGCGAGAAGGGAGUCCGUUGUUGCUGUAUUUGUCUGUUUCAGAUAACGCCUUUGGAUGUGUACUUGGUCAACACGACGAGACGGGGAAGAAGGAGAGGGCUAUCUACUACAUCAACAAGAAAUUUACUCCGUACGAGUCUCGCUACACUUUGCUGGAGAGAACGUGCUGUGCUCUGACGUGGCUUGCCCAGAAACUGAGACACUAUUUAUCGUCGUAUACUACAUAUCUUGUCUCCAGAAUGGAUCCAUUGAAGUAUAUUUUCCAGAAAGCGAUGCCGACCGGGAAGUUAGCUAAAUGGCAAAUGCUGUUGAGUGAGUUUGACAUCGUGUAUGUGACUCAGAAAGCAAUAAAGGCACAAGCUUUGGCUGACCAUCUUGCGGAAAAUCCCGUUGACGAAGAGUAUGAACCUCUCAAGAAUAUUUUCACGAUGAAGAAGUGUCAUUUGUGGGUGAAGAUAUUUCUGAAGCUUAUCCAGGUUGGAGAUUAUUCUUUGAUGGAGCGGCAAACCACCAGGGUAAAGGUGUUGGAGCAGUCUUGGUAUCAGAAUCUGGUCAACACUAUCCUAUGGCAGCCAAACUGCGAUUCAACUGCACAAACAACAUGGCUAGUACGAAGCUUGCAUUCUCGGUUUGAAAAUGGUCGUUGACAUGAAUGUUUACGAGUUACUGGUUAUUGGAGAUUAGGACCUCUUGAUUCAUCAGGUUCAAGGAGAAUGGGCUGUGAAGAACCCAAAGAUUGUACCUUACGUACAAUAUGUGCAAAAUCUGUGUAAAAGGUUUCGCAAGAUCGAGUUCAGACAUACUCCCAGAAUACAGAAUGAAUUAGCCGACGCUCUUGCCACCAUCGCUUCAAUGAUUAAACAUCCGGAUACUAAUUACAUCGACCCGUUGGAUAUAGACUUGAAGGAACAUCCAGUCCAUUGUUCACAUGUUGAAUCAGAACCAGAUGGUUUGCCUUGGUAUUUUGACAUAAAGAGAUAUUUGGAGUCUGGGACAUAUCCAGAAGACGCUACAUCUAAUCAAAAGAAGUCGAUACGUCGUAUGGCUCUCAAUUUCUUUCUGAAUGGAGAAGUAUUGUAUAGGAGGACUCCGGAUUUAGGUGCUGAAGCUGUAAGGCUUAUUGAAUAGAUACAUGCUGGAGUUUGUGGUACACAUAUGAACGGGCUUACCUUGGCAAGAAAAGUCCUUCGAGCCGGUUAUUUCUGGAUGACUAUGGAGCAUAACUGUUGCAAAUUCGUGCAAAAAUACCACAAAUGUCAAGUGCACGGUGAUCUGAUAAGGGUGCCACCUCACGAACUCAAUGUUAUGAGUUCUCCUUGGUCAUUUGUAGCUUGGGGAAUGGAUGUCAUCGGUCCUAUAGAGCCGGCCGCUUCUAAUGGACACAGAUUCAUUUUGGUUGCCAUCGAUUAUUUCACCAAGUGGGUGGAGGCAGCUUCUUAUAAAUCGAUAACCAAGAAAGUGGUGGCCGACUUUGUCCGCAACAAUCUGAUAUGCCAAUUUGGAGUUCCAGAAUCCAUCAUCACUGAUAACGGUGCAAAUCUCAACAGUCAUCUGAUGAAAGAGAUAUGUGAACAAUUUAAGAUUAUUCACCGAAAGUCAACUGCUUAUCGCCCUCAAAUGAACGGAGCUGUAGAGGCCGCCAACAAGAACAUCAAGAAGAUUCUGAGGAAAAUGAUUGACAAGCAGCGGGGUUGGCAUGAAAUGUUGCCAUAUGCUCUACUGGGUUAUCGAACGAUGGUCAGAACAUCAACCGGGGCUACUCCAUACUUGCUAGUAUAUAGAACGGAAGCAGUCGUGCCUGUUGAAGUCGAGAUACCGUCAUUAAGGAUCAUCCAAGAAGCUGAGCUAAGUAAUGCUGAGUGGGUUAGCAAACGGAUUGAUCAGUUAGCUUUGAUUGAUGAGAAGAGGAUGGUCGCUGUUUGUCAUGGCCAAUUGUAUAGACAGAGAAUGACUCGCGCUUUUCACAAAAGAGUAAGAGCCAGAAAUUUUGAAGUUGGUCAGUUGGUUCUUAAGCGUAUUUUUCCUCAUCAAGACGAAUACAAAGGAAUGUUCGCACCAAACUGGCAAGGUCCUUACAUGGUUCGCAAAGUACUAUCUGGAGGUGCUUUAGUCUUGUCAGAGAUGGAUGGCGCUGUAUGGCCCAAGCCUAUCAACUCAGAUGCUGUCAAGAGAUAUUACGCGUGAAGUUCGUUUUGCAUCUUCUAUCAUUUACUUGUAAUCUUCUGUUUGCUUGUAUUUGUUCGAAUUUGAACUCUUAUCCCUCUUGUAACGAACUACGUCUGACCUGAAUUCUCGAGAACGAGAUACGUAGGCGGCCUAUGUCGGCUUCGGUCACCCCAUUUACCCCCUUAAUUAUUUCUUUGCAUUUGAACUACGUUCGACCUGAAUUCUCAAGAAUGAGAUACGUAGGCGGCCUUUGUCGGCCUCGGUCGGUUUCUUUGUAAAUCUAUUCUUGUUAACCUUUAAGGGGAACUACGUUUGACCUGAUUCCUGCCUCAACGGGAUACGUAGGCGCCACAAGGGCUCGGUCAUAUCUCUCGUAAGAUUUCUAUUCCCCUUUACAUUAGAACAGGGACAGAAUUUUUGAGAGGGACUCAAAAAUUCUCCAGAAAAAGCCCCCUCUUCAGCAAGCCAGACAAAAGACAUUUCGAAUUUGCGACUAGGACAGAAUUUUUGAGAAGAUCUCAAAAAUUCCGCGAUCUGUUCGGUUACAAUGGAAAGAUGAGCAAGAUACUAAACUGGGACAGAAAUUUUGAGGAUGGCCUCAAAAUUUCGUCAUGGGUCUUCCCUACAUGUCCGGAAUGCCUCUGAAAUUCAUUCAACAAGCGUCGGACUCAAAGAAACUCGUUAAGCCUGACACGACAUGACUUGGCAGUGACUUUUUCAAGAUACUAUUUCUUAAAAAAAAAUUCUUGUUUCUCUUAAAAAUUUCCCUUUUAUAUUUCAUCUGUUUUGGCAUAAGAUAUUUUCUUAUCAAGAGUCGGGAAAUCGGGAAAUCAACCAGAGACAUCAAGACAAGGAGCAAACAACCGAAGGGAUCGAUACAGAUCAGUAUGUUUAAAACUGACAAUUUUUCUAUGGAUGUAGGUUUAUAGCUUCGCUUCGAAAUCGGCCGAAUUCUUCCGACUAAUGAAUAUGGAGAAGGAGAAAACUAUCUCCAAAACCAGUGAUUUUAUUGAAAGCAGGAAUAUCGUUUGUGUCAGGAUGCUUAUGAAUGUGUUUGUUUAUUUCAAACCAUUCUCAGCAAUGGGAAAUUUACAAAGUAUCCAGCCAGAUUCAAAGGUGAAUCAAACAGGAAUCUCAGCGAAGAUUUCACGAUUUCUGUAGAAGGCGCUAUUUGCAUUGUGUUAUCAAAGCAAGAUGAUUAUUGUCGAUCAAGACCAUGCAUUACCUCAGAAGAGACAGUUAUGCAAUUAUUAUUUUAUCAUUAUCGAUCAAGUUGAUAUAUUAUUUGGAGAUCGUCUUACCGUUACUAUUCACGGGGGCGAUAUAAAUAUUCAUACAUCGCGGAAUUUAUACACUGAAGAAUCAUGCAUCGCGGAACCAUGCAUCGCGGAAUUUAUACACUGAAGAAUCAUGCAUCGCGGAACCAUGCAUCGCGGAAUCAUGCAUAGCGGAAACCAUGCAUCGCGAGUCAUUAAUUAUGCACGACGAGAAGAUUUCAUGCCUCGUCAAAAUUUAUGCAUCGCGAGAAGACUUUAUACCUCGCGAAAAUCAUGCAUCGCGAGUCAAUAAUUAUGCAUGAAGAGAAGAUUUCAUGCCUCGUCAAAAUUUAUGCAUCGCAGAAAUCAUGCAUCGGAGAAACCAUGCAUCGCGAGUCACUAAUUAUGCACGACGAGAAGAUUUCAUGCCUCGUCAAAAUUUAUGCAUCGCGAGAAGACUUCAUACCUCGCUGGAAUUUAUACAUCGCGAGAAGAAUUUAUGCCUCGCUGGAAUUCAUGCAUAGCGAAAAUCAUGCAUCGCGGAAAUCAUGCAUCGCGAGUCAUUAAUUAUGCACGACGAGAAGAUUUCAUGCCUCGUCAAAAUUUAUGCAUCGCGAGAAGACUUCAUACCUCGCUGACAAUUAUGUACGAUGAGAAGAUUUCAUGCCUCGUCAAAAUUUAUGCAUCGCGAGAAGACUUCAUACCUCGCUGGAAUUUAUACAUCGCGAGAAGAAUUUAUGCCUCGCUGGAAUUCAUGCAUAGCGAAAAUCAUGCAUCGCGAAAAUCAUGCAUCGCGAGUCAUUAAUUAUGCACGACGAGAAGAUUUCAUGCCUCGUCAAAAUUUAUGCAUCGCGAGAAGACUUCAUACCUCGCUGACAAUUAUGUACGAUGAGAAGAUUUCAUGCCUCGUCAAAAUUUAUGCAUCGCGAGAAAACUUCAUACCUCGCUGGAAUUUAUACAUCGCGAGAAGAAUUUAUGCCUCGCUGAAAUUCAUGCAUAGCGAAAAUCAUGCAUCGCGGAAAUCAUGCAUCGCGAGUAAUUAAUUAUGAACGACGAGAAGAUUUCAUGCCUCGUCAAAAUUUAUAUAUUGCGAGAAGAUUUUAUGCCUCGCAGGAAUUUACGUAUCGCGGGAAGAUAUUCAUGCACCGCAAGAGGGCAUAUAUGGAUAAAGAAAGAGCAAUACUUAUCCAUUGGCCUCGACUACAUUAUGUUAUUUCUUAUAAAAGUAAACAUCAAGAAGAGCAUCAAAGAUAACGACAAAAGAGACAUCGAUAUCGCAUCAACAUUUAUUCAUUUAUUUUUAGAGUCAAAUGAAGAGUACAUUGAAGAUGAUAUUCCAAAACACAAGGCAUAAACUUUAUUUUCUGGACGUCAGACCGAUCGAGUCGACGUCGAAUAUGGAGGAGAGCAAUGAAGUGUCGACACGAUAAAAGACACCGUCUUCCAUCCUAAUUGCAUUCUUUUUAAGCUGACGAGUUUUAUCUCAGUCUUUGUCGAGAGCAUCCAAAAGGAUGAAUUCUCCAAAAACCACAGGUGCGGACGACACCAAAAAGGAUGCAGCACAAUGUGGAACUUUUUCUUAGCAGUGAACUGGGACACAGUCCAAAGAGGAGUGCCAAACUCUUAGGACGCGAGCAGAGGAGCAACUUCCACCACGACCGAACCACCCUUCUCGAGGCAUGCGGGUUUUCCUUUAGGUCUGUCAGUUUCAGUCUCGCAUCCGGAAGUUUUGUCUUAUCGGAAGCCAGUUUCCAAUCUGAGUGACAAUGCGCCAAGAGCUUUGGAAAUUAUGUCCGUGUAAGUCCUUACCUAUGGAUGUGAAGAGCUCCACAUUCAUGGCUAAGAGGUUACAAGCCUCCUUUUCAUACUCGUUAAUUUGCCACUUGUCCAAAACCAAAAGUUAUCUAGCAUAAUAGAUUUCCUUUUCCAUCGACUGAGUCGAACUAUACACAGCCUGAUUCCGAAGGUUUAGGGAUAUGUAGGCGGAUUCAAUAUUGAAACUCGGUUGUAUCCCAAUAUUCGCUCUCGAAUUCUAUUCUCGAGCAUUUCGGCACCUUCAUAAUCCAGUAUCGAAGUGGCUUUUUAAUUCUAUCAAAUCGUGUGAUAAAACAAGCUUAUCAAACUACAAGUGGCCUGAAUUCUCAUAUAGCCUGAGAUAUGUAGGAAACCCGUUUCAAGGGUUCGGCCAUAACUCCUAAACUCUUUGUCAAAUCCUUCCUUUUAAAAGCGAAUGAAGUUGGUCAAAAUUGGUUCGGUCAAUUUCAUUUUCCUCGAGUUGCUUGCAUCAACCCAAGUAAAAUGAGGGACAGUUGUUGACACCCAAUUUUUGACCCACGUUGGUAUAAAUUAAUUAUCGAGCUUCGUGAGUUUUUCAAAUUAUUUGAGUUAAUUAGUUUGGUAAAUCUUGCGAAAACGAAAGAAAAUAUAUAUAUAUAUAUAUAUAUAUAUAUAUAUACACGUAUAUAUAUAUAUAUAUGUAUAUGUAUAUAUGUAUAUCUUUAGUUUAGAAAGUAUUCCAUUAAACUAGUUUGCUUUAAAUCACAACUAUAUUUUGAAUCAUUAUUUUAUAAUUCAAAUAGUUAUGUUACUAAAUAAAUAGGCUCGUUAAUGAAUUUAUACCAAAUUCGUUUUAAAUCAAUUGGCCAUUAUUUAAAUUUAACUCUUUCCUUUAAUCCUUUUGAAGAACUGAAUUCAGGCCCAAUCUCCUUCAAUUUCAAUCCAACCCAAUUCAAACCCAGCGGCCCAUUUCUUAAUUCUCAGGCCCAUCCCGAACCCCCUAAAAUGUUUUCAAAACAAAUUUUUCUGUUUAAGUUGUUUUGGAAAUAAGUUUUCUUGAUUUUUCCUAAAAAAUUAAGUGGCGACUCCCAAAAGUCGAAAAUACCCUUUAAUAAAACAAACUCUUUUUCGAAAUCGAAAUUUUUUUUCGAUAAAACAUUCCUAAAGUCUUUAGUUACAUUGGUUCUAAUGACACUUAAUUAAUACCGGUAAAGACUUUAGCACUCUUUAUUAGUGUCAAUAUUUAAUGCCGCUAAAAAAUAUUUUUGUUGUUAUGUCAAUUGAGUUGUUAUUCCCAUACAAAUAUUUUAUAUAUACAACUCUGACUUUGUAAUAAUUAUAUACACAAUAAUAUAAUAAUAAUAAGAAAAAAUUACGCGGCUAAGAAAACUUAUACUCUUUAAUUAUUCAUCAUAGGUAUAGUUUGCUAUGAUUACCACUCGCGACUAAAAUUAUACAUUAAUUACGUGGGCUGACUUUGAGUUUGUAUAAUUAGUCAUGUUUGUAUAUGUAUAAUUCGCCAGGAUAUAUACAUAUGUAUAAUAUAUAAUUUUUUAACCUAUAUACAAAUACAAUUCGCCUCUCUCCUUCCUCUUUCAAUCUCGCUUGCCAUUUUUACAAAUGUAUAUGUAUAUUAUACAAUUAUAUUCAUAUACAAUUCACCUCUCUCCCACUCUCU
This 52961-nucleotide long non-coding RNA is filed under the name Solanum lycopersicum (tomato). RNAcentral's name for it is "long non-coding RNA (SLYC_LNC000443)". The record is from RNAcentral. Lineage: Eukaryota; Viridiplantae; Streptophyta; Magnoliopsida; Solanales; Solanaceae.